Molecule: long non-coding RNA, 69891 nt
Filed under: Ananas comosus (pineapple)
Lineage: Eukaryota; Viridiplantae; Streptophyta; Magnoliopsida; Poales; Bromeliaceae
Description: long non-coding RNA (ACOM_LNC006438)
Source: RNAcentral
UUAGUUAUAUUUUACAGUACAUUAAUGUUCAUCUUAUAUUAUUAUUAUAUAUAUAUAUUUUUUUCUUUAGGACCUGGCUUGGGAGGAAUUCUACACUGUCAUACUUGCACCACGUCAUCAAUAACAAGCCAAUCAUAUUCAUUCUUUUCAAACAAAAGUACAAUAAAAAUACUUUUUUACAAUCAUGAUGGGACAUAUAUUCUUAAAAGGAUUAAUUUGAUUGAUUUGUUACGCCACGUCACUAAUAUACCCGUUGCAUUCUAGAAUUUUUCCUGACUUGGGGCCGGUGGAAAGAUUGUUUCUGUUCAUUAAAAUUUAUAAACUUUUUUUUAGUUUAUUAUUUUAUGUUCAAAAGAAGAAUUAAAAUAAGACUAUAAAGACAAAUCAGAAAGCGCCACGCAACUUUCUCGGCGCCAUUCAAUUGUCAGAUGUUUACUUGAAUCAAGUUCCUGUCAAUGUCGCACACUUACAUUCAAUGGGAGAUUUUUUUGGCCCGCUCAAUAAUUUUUUAUCAUUAAAAAUUGAUAUAAUCAACUAUAAUUAACUUUAGUAUCCUCCACAUGACCACAUGUCAGAGUUUGAUGGGCAUUUAAUACCACAUCGUCUAAGAGUUGAUUAACAUGGAUUAGUCACUGCUAAUCAGCAACGUCCGUGGUUAUUAAUUAAUAGCAAGGAAUAAAGUUUGUGGUUAAAAAAAAAAAAAAACGAAACUUUCCAUUAGAUGAAAUAUCUAUAGAGGUUUCAAAUUGAAGUACUUACUUGGUGUAAUUGGAAAUAAAAAAAUACAAAUUAAUUAAGUAGAAAAGGAAACAAUUUUAGAGAUUUCACGCAAGAUUUCAAAUCUAUUAGGGUGAAAAACCAAAUCCAGUUUAGAUUCUACCUCUCUUUAUCCCACUUCUGGAAAGACCCACUAAGGAAGGUAAAUGGCUCCUUAGUUCUUAAAAAAAAUAGUAUGAACAAAAAUUAAUAAAACAGUUUUUUAUGAUUUUUUUUUUCCAAUUUUUCAUCCUGUAAGUUCUAAAAAAAUUAUUUUUUUAAUGUAUAUUUUUUUCAUAUUUCAUUAGAAACUAAUAUUUUUGUUUUCUGAAAAACAAAAUGCAAAACAAAAACGAUAAUUUUUCACAAAAUUUAGAAAAAAAAUUUAAAAUAGGUUUUCUUUAAUACCAAACGAGCAAAAAAAAUUUUCAGGAAAUAAUUUUUUUUCAUACUAUUUUUAGGAAUCAAAUGGCACUUGGAAAGCACCAACAUCCAUCAUCUUAUCCAACAAAAUGAAACUUUGUUGACAUAUUGGAGUUUGGAGAUCCGGUAACAAAGUAAAAUAUGUGCAAUAAAGUCUUAAAAAUAUCAACUUCCAUCUAGAACCUUUCGUUCGGCUCAAAAAACAUUAUGUUUGGAUGGAUUGCGAUAACAAUAGCUCAAUCCUGCUACAAUCGAUACCGCAAAUAUUUUUUUUAUAGACGGAUACUAUAUCCUACUGUAGAACUAAAACUUUUUUCUCAUUCUCGCAGGACAACUCAUGUUCAAGAAUUAAUAGACAAAAGGCUAAAAAAUCUAAAAAAAAUGUUCACGGAAUUAGAUUAGUUUUUCAUCCCAGAAUAUAUUUGUGACGUGAGAGAUCGCACAGAUUAAUGGUCAAAUGUAGAAAACGAAACAAGAAAUAUAUAAUUGCAUUCCUUUUGAAUCGCCCUGGUCCCAAAAUCUACGGAGUAUGGCGUGGCGUGGCAUAGCGUGGCGUGCGCGAUGUGUUCGGAGAAUUGACCCAGUGAGUUGGUUGGACAUAAAAGAUGAUAAGGUUAGGAAAAUGGCUGUGCCGGACCAUAUGACUGGGAGUACUUACUCGACCCGAGAUGUUACCAUCCUCCUCGCAUGCACAUACUGUUACGAACUAAGGACCUGGGAUAAGGUUCAUUGCCAUAUUAUUUUCUGAGAAUUUUAUUUUACGUUUGAUCAUUGAUGAUAUCACUCGCGAUGUGUGCGAAAGAAUUGACCCAUUGAGUUGGUUGGACACAAAGAAUGAUAAGGUUAGAAAAAUAGCCGUGCCGGACCGUACGACGGAGAGUACUUACUCCACCCGAGAUGUUACCGUCCUCCUCGCAUGCACAUAUUGUUACCAACUACGAAUCUGGGGCAGGCUUCGUUACCAUAUUAUUUUUCUGAAAAUUUUAUUUUGCGUUUGAUCAUUAUUGAUGACAUCACUCGUGAUGUGUUUGGAGAAUUGACCCGUUGAGUUGGUUGGACAUAAAAGAUGAUAAGGUGCCGGACUGUAUGACGAGGAGUACUUACUCGACCCGAGAUGUCUCCGUCCUCCUGGAGUGCGCAUAUUGCUACGAUCUAAGGAUCUGGGAUAUGCUCCAUUGUCCUAUUAUUUCCUGAUAACUUUAUUUUGCAUUUGAUCAUUGAUGACAUUACUCGUCAGGUCAAAUCUUGUAUGAAAGUAUGAGAUUUUAAAAUAUCCUUUGGCAUUAUUUUAAUUUUUUAAUGCUUUUAACCAGGGCUCUUUUGAUAGAUGUUGCCUCUUUUUAAAUUAUUUUAAACACUAAUUAUAUAUAGUUUAAUAUAUAUAUAUAGAGUUGAGCUGAAAUACUAUCGGCAGCAAACGGGUUUCGUUGCCACCCAUUUAUUUUCGAAGAUGAAGCCUCCAAAUCGACGAUCAGUAUUGUUGACAAUGAUCUAUACCACUUGAAGUAUCUAGAAAUCAAAUUUCAUAUUUUUUCAAUAUUGUUCUCUUGUUCAUCAAGUGGGCGUAAAAAUGAAUUGCUGAAAAUAAAUAUCUUCUAAAAAGUGAUGAUAGGAAUUUUGUAAUCAAGAUCAAGAGUAUAGAUCUUAUUCUAAAUAGUUUAAAAAAUUUUAUACCAAAAUUCAAUUGAUUUGGAUAGCUUUACACCGUUAAACGAGAAAACGCCUCAUAUCAACCCUUAAAAUUAUAAAUUUUGAAACUCUUUGAUCAUUAGGCCAAUAAUGUCGAGAAGAUUUGAAAUUUGAUUUCUAGAUACUUCAAGUGAUAUAGAUCAUGUUCAACGGUACCGAUCGUCGAUUUGAAAGCUCCAUCAUCGAAAACAAAUGUGUAGCAACGGAGCCCGUUUGCUACCGAUAGCAUUCCAGCUCAACUAUAUAUAUAUAUUUGCCAUUGUCCAUUAGCUUACAAUGGUUUCUAGUUAAAAGAUGAAUAAUAAUUUAUUUAAAAUUAUUAAAAUAAAAUUUUUUUUUUUUGUCAAAUAAAUAACUUGUAUGUAAGAAUUGUGAGAAAUUAUCAUCCCUUCUCACAGAAAUUAUAUGUAAAAUUUAUAUUUUGGAAAAAUAAAAAAAUAGAAAUAACGUCAAACGAAGCGUUAAUUAAAAUUUUGAUAAUACACGUGAUGUAAUGAAAUGUGCCCGGUGUAUGCCUCACAUGAAAUAUCACCAAAAUCAUGGUGUCGCUAAAAAAAAAAAAAAAAAAAAAAAAAAAAAAAAAAAAAAAAAAAAAAAAAAAAAUCACCUAGUCGCCAACAAAGCGCAUAACGUGCCGGGCCUGGCCCUCACUCCUCUUUGGAAACCCCACUUAGGACAUGAUCCGGCCCGUAAAGAGAAAGGCCUAAAAUCAAAACGGGUCAGGUCCGGUCCGGGCCGGGCGCGGACUCUUCAUCUUAAACCCUUCUCCGCUUCUCCCUCACUCGAUACUCCGAUGCAUCAAACCCCUUACACGGGGCGCCCGACACCCUCCUCCGCCACCGCGCCUCGUGCCAUUCCAGGUACAAAAAUUCAAAGCAUAACAAAAUAAAAUAUGGUUCACAUAUGUAGAUCUAAAUAAUCACAAAGUAUUAUUCUUUUGAUUUCGAUAUUCAGAGGUAGAGAGGGAAUUACUUCUUUUGCAAGUUCAUAUAUAGUUAUAUAUGUGUAUAUUUUUUGGUGAUAUAAGCCCUGAUUCAAGUCAAUUUAGAAAUUCGCAGCUACCAGGUAGAAAUCUUGCUUCGAUCAUCAAUUGGACGCUUUUCAUAUUCACCACAUAUAGAAAAAAAGAGAAAGGUAAAGUUUCUAUAUAAUCAAAUAUUCAUAUGUUAUGUUUGGGGCAAUUCAACAAACAUCUUAUAAGCGUAAAAUCCAGAGUGUAAGUGCUCUGCAUGAGAGAUCGUCGGAGCUGUUAAUUAGCAUGUUCGAAAUUAUAUGUUGUAGGUUAUGGUGCAACCACUAGCGGUCGACUCAAAAAUGCUCGGUUCUAGCUUGUUUUGCGCUCAAAAUGAUUUGGCCGCAGGUCUAGCCUGGCCUGAAUCAGGCUCGGCAAUGGGGACUUCGGGCCAGCCUAGAUCGGUUAGCACCUCCAAUUGGUGCUAUAAUACACAACCAUUGACAGCAACACAAUUUGGCGACCAGGAUCUGGGCUCUCGUUAUUCCACACAUCAAUUUGAUGAUCUGGCGAGCUUGCUUGACAAUAACACGCGAGCAUCAACAGUUGGAGAAUCCUUCGCUCACAAAUCUUAUCUCCCUAGCCCUUGUUUGGUUGGGGAUUAAGGGGUGGAAUAAUCCCUUAACCCCCAUUUUAUCCCUAAACACCCUCAAAAAUAGAUGAGGUUAGCUAACCCCACCUCAAAUAAAUUAUCCCGGAUUAGCUAACUUCACCUAACCCCACCAAACUCCAACCAAACACUAUUUUCUAUUCAUAAUAAUUCACUAUCUUUCUUAUCACACCUACUCCAACCAAUCAUUAUCCUUCUUUAUCAAUCAUUAUCUUUUUAUCUCACCUACUCCAACCAAACACUAAUUUUUCAUUAUUCUAGACUAACUCCAACCCCCAAUCAAACACAAAAAAAUUUUAACCCCACUUUAACCAUGAACUUAAUUCUAUCCCUGGAAUAUCUACUUUUUCCUUAACCCCGAACCAAACGGAGGCCUAAGGACUAUAUCAUGGAUGGCGGGCUAGGUCUAGUGGUCCAACAGUCCUUAGAAAUGGCAGUGGCUAAAAGCCAGGGGACUAGUCAAAAUUCUAAUUGUCAACCUAAAACUGCGUCUUUAUCUAACUUAACUGAAGUUUUGCUUAAUGAAGUGUAUGAAGAGCAGAAAGCAAUCAGUUCUUUGCCACAACAACCCUUGCAGAAGCAGGGAAAUCAAUCGAAAUGUUCGUUAAAUGAUGACGGCAGACCAUUUCCCUCAGAUAGUUCUCCUGGAACAUAGGGUUUGCUGGGUCGAAUUUCUUUAGUACAUAAUCGGUUUAGAGUUUUUCAGUACAUAGUCGGUUUUUUAGUACAUAUCAUCACAGUUAUUCUUAGCUUCAAGUUAGAUUGUUAAUUCAUAGUACCUUUGCUUACAGGCUCAAUUAUUCUGAGGUGGCAAUUAGCCUUGUUCGCUUUCCAUCGUUUGAAAAGAUUGUCAUAUUUUCUUUCUUUUUCUUUGUAUCAAUGUCAGAACCAUGUACAAAAGAUUCGAUCCAUUUCUACUUGGAGCAUCGUUUGAUGGGUCCUGUUAGUUAUUUUACAUCAGAUUGCUCCACAAACUAGUUUCAUACCAUUUACGGUUUCUAACAUGCAGACCACACAAGUUUUAUCUCUCACUAGGAAGUACUCCUAUGAUAUGCCAGAUACUGCCAAAAAAAAACAAGUGAAAACUUAACCGGUUCGCUACAAAGCAUACCUCUUAUUCUCUUAUAGACGAUAAUCUCAUGACAUAUAUGGCCAAGUUAUGAAACGACGAAAUAAAUACAAUACAUAACAAGUAUGCAACAAAUUACCGAGGAAAAUCCAUAGACAAUAGCAGAGCGUCCUCCAGACUGUCCUGUUGUGAAUUGCUGCAACAUAAAGCUGAAGGCUCAUCCGCCGAGAUUUCUUUCUGAAUUUGGCUUUGCGGCGGUAUGUUAAGCUUCUCUUGACUCUUCUCAGCUGAGUGCUGCUUCAUAAGCCUUCUCAGUGCAUCAAGCUCGACCAACACUUCCUUCAUCUUCGGCCUCUCUUCCCCUUUAAUUCUCAAACACCUCAGCGCCACCUUUGCGAUUUCAUUAAGAUGCCUCACCCCUGCUUCCUUCACCACCCUCUGAUCCAACAUCUCCAGUAGCCGAUUCUGUUCAACCAACAUAGUGAAAUGCGAGGCUAGGUUCCUCCCUUCCUCCGACCGACAAAAAGAAAUAGGCAUCUCUCGCGUCAAUAUCUCAAUGAGUACCACACCGAAGCUAUACACAUCGCUCUUAUCUGUUAAAAGGCUCGUGCUGAAGUACUCUGGGUCCAAGUAUCCUAGGGUCCCUUGAACAACUGUGGUGAUAUGAGUUUGAUCAUAGGGCACUAACCUCGAAGCCCCAAAAUCUGAUACCUUUGCAUUGUAGCAUUCGUCAAGAAGUAUGUUAGCCGACUUGACAUCUCUGUGAAUGAUUGGUACUUUCGUAGCUGAGUGCAGAUACGCGAGCGAUGCUGCUGUCUCAACGGCUAUUCUUAAUCGAUCCUCCCAUGGCAUUGGGGCCGUUUGGUUACUGUGAAGAUGAUUAAAAAGUGUUCCAUUUGAAAUAAAUUCGUAGACUAGUAAGGGAACCUGGGUCUCUAAACAACAUCCCAGUAGUUUGACAACAUUCCUGUGAUUGAUCUGAGAGAGGAUGACCACUUCAUUCACGAAUUGCUCGAUUUGCGUCUGAUCAACCAUCUUUGAUUUCUUGAUGGCCACAACAGUUUGAUCGGAGAGCACUCCUUUGUACACAGUUCCAUAUCCUCCUCGACCGAGAAUCCGAUCCUUGCUGAAAUUAUCAGUUGCCUUUCUGAGUUCUUCAGAAGUAAAUAUUCUUGCCGGUGCUUUCUGUGAGAAGAUUUGUUGUUGUAACAUUAAGCCGCCAUUUUGGAGGAAAAAUUUCUGCCUAAGCUUUGUUUGCUUCCUUUUCUUCCGAAACCACUCAGCCCAGAAGCCUAGUGCGAGCAAAACAGCCAAUAGACCUAGUCCUGCAACUGCACAGGCACUGCAGAUUCUGAAUCCCACAACACAAACACUAGGAAAGAAUUAAAAUUAAAUUGAUAAAUUAUUUAAGUGCGACUAAAAGUAAAUUCAGUUCCUCAUCAGAGGAAAAGCUGCAGAGUUUUUGGUCGUCGUAUAUCUCUAAUUUACUAAAAAGCUUCUGCUUUCUUGCUCCAGAAAUGCGCCGGAACAGACACUUGGGUAUAACAAAAUCCCAAUGCUAGUUAAUGGUUACCUAGCCCAAUAGCUAGGGGCGCCAACCCCUCGCAGCCGGAGCCCGCCCUCAGCCCGUCGCCGCUGAUUCCGAAGGGACAAGUGCAGUUGAAUCCUCCCACCGUAUUGAUGCAUUUAUGAACGCAAGGGUUCGUUUUUGGAUCCGCGCACUCGUCGAUGUCUGUCAUGCAUUUCACAAACCAUAAAGUAGAUGAGCAAAAAAAUUAAUUAUUUAUUCGUCACAACUUCAAUUUUCCACCGUAAAGCGAGCGAGAGAAGAGAAGAAACAACGCUAAAACUAUGGUUUCCUCCGCAGAGCAGCAGGUAUUAUUGGUUAAAAAGCAGAUCAAUAAUACCUUGGCAUCCACCUUCCGUUUCUUCCAGGUAAGGGUUCCCCCGGAACCCUCGGGAGCAGUUGCAGCGAUACCCGAUGCCGUUUGUCGAGUCGUAGCAGUAGCUGCUCCCCUUGCACGCGUAGUCGUCGUCGAACUCUCCUCCUCUUUUCCCUGUCACCUCGGCGCAAGUCUCCUCCCCUAUCGACCACUCCAGCACCAUCGGCCUGUACUGAUCCUCCGGAUUACCGACUAAGUCCUUCUUCGAGAACGCAUAGUAGUCCUCGUCGACUAUGAAUGCCUUGCUACAGGGCUCCCCGGACUGGUCUUUAUGGGUGGACCCUGUGAGGCUCCUGAUGCUGGUGAAGGAGAAGUUGAGGCUCUUCAGCCCCUUGGGCAGCGAAACCUGGCAACACCCGACGCCGGAGCAUGCGCCGGAGACGAUGCUGUCGUUCGUCGCGCAGAAGGAGACGCACCCACCGCUGUACCUGUGGUUGGCGCCGCCCCCCUGCGCGAGCAUGAGGACCAUGGCGUCGCAGCCGACGGCGGUGAACUUGUUGUGGGCGUCGGAGAAGGUGUAGGGGGUGCCGCGGAGGCUGAGGCCGCGGUCGGGCGGGGGGAGGCUGGCGCCGGAGGAGUUGUCGUAGCAGCGCCACGCGACGGCGCGGCCGACGAUGCGGACGUAGCCGGAGAGGAUGGAGAUGUCGAGGACGACGUAGGGGCGGGCGGGCGCCGAGGGGAGGGAGAUGAUGGAGGAGUUGUAGCAAGGCGGAGCGUCCGGGAGAAGCGCCGAUGGGUCGAUGUAGUUGGAGGAGGAAGGCGGUGGCGAUAAUAUCCCCAGCAAUACGAGGAGGAGCAGAGAAUGGACGUGGAGAUCAGGGAGAUGAUCAGGAGGAAGACGAAAGACCAUGGCGCUUCCUUAAUUCCUUCCCCAGUAGACACUAGUCUUGAUUAGGAAGGACGAGGCGGCUGCAGCCUGCAGGCAGAGUCGGAGCUAGCGUCGGCGUCGGACUAAUGGUGGAAACGAUGGUUCGACAAUUGUCGGUAGCCAAUUGCUGGUUGUUGUUGACUCAGAGUCAACACUUUAUUUUUAUUUUAAUUUUUAAUAAUUAGUGGUUGUAUCAGAGACUCUGACUCGUUUUUAUUUUGUUUAAAUUUUUAACUCUCUCUAUUCAGUAGUGCUGCAGCUGUUUAGAAACUAUAUUGUCUGUUGUCAAUAUAUUAAUAUUUAAUAGUAUAAAAAAAAAAUUAAUUUAACUUAAAUAUAUAAUAUGUAUUUAGUAAUGAGAUUUUUUUUUUUUUUUUGAGAAAAAGAUAACACGCUAUCCGCUUCAUUCAUUGAUUAGGUGAAUUAAACUACAAGUAUGGAGCAACCAGGCUCCGAAAGAAAGAAAAAAGAAAAAAGGAAUCAAGACACGAGGAGAAGAUCCCACUCCUUCACGAAAAGCUUGAGAUUGUGGACCGCUUGCCCGGAGUUAGCUGGGAUAGUCCAAAAUAAAGAGUCGUUCCUGACCUUCCAUAUAAUCUACCAGCUGCAUCAUACUAGAACAGUAAGUCAAGAACGUUUCUUUAAAUGAUCCUUUUUGCCAAACCACCUAUCCCACUAGAACAGUAAGUCCAAAAAAAUGUAAUUUUUUUGGAAUAUAAUUUUACAUUUUCAUCUAUUUUAAAAGUGAAAAUUGAAGAACUAUGGAGAGGAGUAUCUAAUAUACAACGUGAUGAGUCUAGCCGGGAAAUAAAAUGAUCGGUGGCUGGCUUGGUUUGGGAGAAACCAAAUAAUCAUCGGAGGCAGAACAACAAACCGUGUGGGUCCUGCCGGACAUUCGAUCACUCGUUAGGGCUUCGGUUCGAGCAUUGCUUUUAACAAGCAUGAUUCAUUUCUAGAGUUUUUCUCUUUUCUUUUCGUUUUAUCUUUUUCUUUCUUUUUUUUUUUUUAGACUGUUUAGUUUAAUUCAUCAUUUUUUGAUGAAUAAAUCAGGUAAGAUGCAAUAUUUUUCUAAAAAAAUUCUCGCUACUCACAUUGAUAUGAUUAAGUGGUCAAUCUUAUUUCUAGAAUGAGUGAUAUAUAUAUGAUUUUUUUUCUUUAAAUGUAUAAAUAAAUAGCAGAACUUUUAGGCUUCGUUUGGUUUAGGAUGUAAGCGGAGAUAAUAAAAGUUAUCCCCGCUUUUCCCUGUUUAAUCAAUGUAUCUCCAUUACACUCCCACUUUUUCAGUCAAGGAAACUACAACUAUGGAGCUUCUAUGAUUGGGGAUAUCCACUGCAAUGUUUAAAGAUUUUCUACUGCACCGCUUAGUGCGAUUGGACAUUAUUGGUCGGAAUGCCGUUUCGCGAGUAAAGAAGCUGGCCAAACACUCGCUCAAUCACAAAUAAGGCAAAAUUUGGUAUGGUUUUUUUUAUUUUUUUAAUUUUUUAGAUGUUUAUUUUAUGUAAUUUGACAUAUUGAUAAAAAGAAUUUUCUUUUCUUCUCAUUGUUCGCUAGUGAUAAAUGAUAACUUAUUUAUAAAGAUUUUUUGAAACAACCAAAAUUAUUUAUUUUAAAGUUUUCACUUUUUACUACUAAAUAAAUGUUUCAGAUAUAAGGAUUGUAAGCAAUCCACCAUUUCCUUUUCCACUAUUUUAUAUAGAAAUUUUAUUUAAUAAAAAAACAGCAACAAUACCAAACAAGACUAAACAUGUAAUUUUUUGGAUUAUUAAUUAAGAUCUUUUUAUUUCUUAGGUCUAUGAUUCUUCACUAGGGACAUUUUUUUUUGGAGAAAAAAUAGCAUAUUAUUUACUUUGUUUAUUUUUUAAAAAAUAAACUUAGCUAAAAAUAUUAAUGAAGUAUAAUUCAAACUUGAAACUUUAGGUACCAAAUAUCAAGCCUCUUGUCACUUACGUUAAGAACCAUUAGUUGAUCCUAUGCUUGUAAGUACAAGUAUAGGCAUAGGGCCAAAAAUAUUGAUCCUCUGCCUACACUUCUACUUACAUCUAUAGACAAACCCCAAUGUAACAAAAAAGGCACAUCAAGCCAAGGUGGCGGUGAUAGCAGCCACACCAAUACGGGGAGGAGGAGAAGAAAUGGUCUAGAGAGAGAAAGAGAGAGAGAGAGAGAGAGAGAGAGAGAGAGAGAGAGAGAGAGGAGGACAACGAAAAAGCAUUGCGCUUCUAAUUUCCUUCCUCGAUCGCAGCAGGACUCCAAACAUUAUAGGCUUCGUUUGAUUCGGAUAUAAACAAAAACUAGCUAUUACAAAACUAGGUAUAAAUAUGGGGUAAAAAAAAUAGCAUUUUGAUAAUAAAUUGGGUUGUUAUCGGAGAUAAGAAAAAUAGUAUUUGGAUAGAUAAUAUGAAAUUAGAAAAAUAAUUGAUAGUUAUAUAUAAAAAAUAGAGCCGUUGAUAGGGAUAGUUAUACCAACUUAUUUCAAAUACCUGAGAAUUACUAUUUUUGGAUAAAAAAUUUACGUUCGGGCAUAAAAAGAGGGAUAAGAGAUUAUCCCUCAUCUUAUCCCCGAUCCAAACGCUACCUUCAGGAAGAAAGACGGAGGAUGUUCUUGAAAGAAGGCGUGGUAGUCCUGAAUAGCAGGUGAGAUUGGGGAUUUAGGAAGGAGGCUGCAGGUAGGAGUUCAUAUCCCCAAUCAUUGCUCGUUGUUUUCUCCGUCUUUUUUUUUUAUGUAGGUGUUUUUGGUGGUAUUGUCUAUUUUAUAUAUAUAGAGAGAAAGUUACGCUAGAAUAUUAUUAAUAGUAAAAAAAAUUUUUUGCUAUCAAAUUUUUAGCUCUUGAAUUAAUUAUUUUUAUUAUUUCUAAUUAUUGGAUUAAAUAUAAUAAUCCAAUGGAGACCAUGUUGGCCCAGUGGCCCUAAUCGUCUAUCAGAUUUUGAUGAUAACAAAUAAUCACGAUUAUUGGACUAAUCUCUUAUCUUGAGUCUUGUGUUUUAGAUCUCUCUAUCUUCAAAAAGGAUUCAAGAUGGACAAUAUUCUAGCACCAAGCUUCACCACUUGAAGCUGUGUUUUGCUUCUUUUGUCAAAUAGACAAGCUCACUCUCUUCACUCUUAACUUGAUUAAUAUUAUGCUUUAUAAUUAUAUAUAUAUAUAUAUAUAUAUAUAUAUAUAUAUAUAUAUGAUAACUACCAUUUUUUUUAAAAUUUUUUUGAUAUACCAAUCCUACUAUAAACAGGUAAUCACAACUCAUCAGGGCAAUCUCAACUCACCAGACUCCUAGUUUUACCGUUGGAUUCUCCCCCCCACUUAAUCCAAAGAUUUUAUUUUUAGGUUUAUUAGUUCGUUUAAUUUUUUGGCUACGUUUAUUUUCUUUACGUUUGAGCUUUUCGUGUGCUAGUUAAACAAAGCUCCAAGCCGUGAAACGGAUGCAGGGGCGGUUGAAGAGUUGUGAGCUCUUACAACCUAGAGGUGAUCUACUAUGAAAACGCCCGUUCGUGGUUCGGAAGUGUAGUUGAGGAAGAAGAAAGUUCGAAGUUCUUAAACGAAGAGAGAGAAAAAUGUUCUAAUUUAGAGUGAUAUUCAAAGUGAGUUCAAAUCUCUUUCUUAACUCUCGAUUCUCAUAAUUCUAGUGACUUCAAAAAUUCGAGUUUACUUGAUAGUUCAACGAUGGUUCACUCCGGAGUUAUGGUAGAUAAAUAUCGGAGCCUGCCUAGACAGUCAACAUGAAAGCCCGCGGGUGUUUGACAAAGGCCCGCGGGUCUUCAAACACGUGCGGUCGACGAAGAGCCUGGUGCACGCGGCGAAAAGAAUUGAAACAUACAAACCCGGCAGUUUUUAAACACCCGCGGGUCUAGAGCUCCUUGUCAAAAAGACUGUGUGCGUCGAAAAGAAUUGAAGCAUUCAAGACCCAGCAGUUUUCAACACCCGCGUGUCUUGUGCUCCUUGUCGAAAAGACUGUGCGCGGCGAAGGAGACCUAAACCCGGCAGUCUUUCAACACCCGCGGAUCUAGAGCUCCCUGUUGAAAGUUUUCAACACCUGCGAGUCUUUCAGCACGACUGAAAGAACGGUCUGUCGGGUCUAACGCACGCGGCGACGAAGGUGUUUUAGACCCGCGGGUCUAAAGCGCGGCGGACAACAGCGUUGGACAGUUCAGUUUGUCAGAAACACAAAGACCUAGUGGGCUUGUUGUUUGUCCGUCCUAGGUUUUCCAAAGUUUUCUAAGCCUAGGUGAAAGCCCGCGGGUCUUAUCCCAGGUCUUUAACCUUGAAAUGUCUUGUGUUUUAAACUCGUUAAAAACUUAUAAAUUUUCAGGAAAAGUGGAUUAGUAUUUAAAUCUUAAAACAAAUUCACUAGAUAUUCCACUAUUCUACUUAUCAAAUUUGAAUCGAGUUUCAAAGAGUGAGANNNNNNNNNNNNNNNNNNNNNNNNNNNNNNNNNNNNNNNNNNNNNNNNNNNNNNNNNNNNNNNNNNNNNNNNNNNNNNNNNNNNNNNNNNNNNNNNNNNNNNNNNNNNNNNNNNNNNNNNNNNNNNNNNNNNNNNNNNNNNNNNNNNNNNNNNNNNNNNNNNNNNNNNNNNNNNNNNNNNNNNNNNNNNNNNNNNNNNNNNNNNNNNNNNNNNNNNNNNNNNNNNNNNNNNNNNNNNNNNNNNNNNNNNNNNNNNNNNNNNNNNNNNNNNNNNNNNNNNNNNNNNNNNNNNNNNNNNNNNNNNNNNNNNNNNNNNNNNNNNNNNNNNNNNNNNCGUGUGCUUUUCGAGUUUGCAUUUCUUUUAUUUGCAUCGGUUUUUUAAUUUGCUUGAUUAUUUGGAUUUUUAUUUUAGAAACCUAAUUCACCCCCCCUCUUAGGUUGCCAUUUUGAUCCUCAGACCACUCAACUCUAACGGGACUACUCAACACUAAUGGACAAAUAUCAUCCUAACCAUAUAGUUUUUUUAAAAUUUUUUUUACCAUCAAUAGUAUAUAUAUAUAUAUAUAUAUAUAUAUAUAUAUAUAUAUAUAUAUAUAUAUAUAUAUAUAUAUAUAUAUAUAUAUAUAUAUAUAUAUAUAUAUAUAUAUAUAUAUAUAUAUAUAUAUAUAUAUAUAUAUAUAUAUAUAUAUAUAUAUAUAUAUAUAUAUAUAUAUAUAUAUAUAUAUAUAUAUAUAUAUAUAUAUAUAUAUAUAUAUAUAUAUAUAUAUAUAUAUAUAUAUAUAUAUAUAUAUAUAUAUAUAUAUAUAUAUAUAUAUAUAUAUAUAUAUAUAUAUAUAUAUAUAUAUAUAUAUAUAUAUAUAUAUAUAUAUAUAUAUAUAUAUAUAUAUAUAUAUAUAUAUAUAUAUAUAUAUAUAUAUAUAUAUAUAUAUAUAUAUAUAUAUAUAUAUAUAUAUAUAUAUAUAUAUAUAUAUAUAUAUAUAUAUAUAUAUAUAUAUAUAUAUAUAUAUAGUCCACUGAGAUACUAUCGAUACCGUCAAGAGCUUGGUGCUACUGAGUUUUCCGUCGUUAGAUUUAAUCCUUUGACUAUUUUUAUCCGUUAAAUUAUAUUAUUCAAUCUAUAACUAAUUCAAUUCUAGAGGGUUCACAUCAUUCUAACCGUACAUUUUUUCAUUUAAUGACCGAAAAUCUAAUAGCACAAAUAGCUUGGUACUAUUGAUAGUAUUCCAGCGAGUUGAGCUAGAAUACUCUCAAAAGCAUCAUGAAGGUAGUGAUUUUGAGUUUUUAGCCAUUAAAUGGAGGGAUGUGAGGUUGAGAUGAUAGUGGUAGGUAAAAUAGUGUUUGAUCCAAAAACUAUUAGUAAUCAAGAAGUAAAUUCAAAGGCUAAAAACUUGGAAGCGCACCAAGAGAUUGGUGCUUCUAAUUAAAAGUAUUCUAGCUCAAUUAGUAUUCCAGCAUAUAUAUAUAUAUAUAUAUAUAUAUAUAUAUAUAUAUAUAUAUAUAGAGAGAGAGAGAGAGAGAGAGAGAGAGAGAGAGAGAGGUUUCUAUACUUUCGAAAGUACGGAGGCCUCCGUACUUGUAAGUUAUUUUCAAUGAUGGGACUUCCAAUUCGGCGAUCGGUUUCAUUAAAUAUGAUCUACGCUAUUGGAACUAUCUAGAAACCAAAUUUCAUAAUUUUUGACUUUGUUUGCCUAGUGAACGAGUAGCAUUAAAAUGAACGGCUGAAAAUAAAAAUCUCAUAAAAAACAGUGAUAAAAGACUCAAAUUUCAAAUCAGUAGUAUUGUUCUUACUCUUAAUGUUAAGUAGAAUUUUCUAUUAAAAUUUCACAUAAUUUGAAAACUUCUACACCGUUGAAUUUAAAAACAUGUCACAUCGGCCGUUAAAAUAGUCAUUUUUGAGAUCCUGUGAUCGUUUGGUAAAUGAUGUCGAAAAAUUAUAAAAUUUGGUUUCUAGAUAGUUCCAAUAGCUUAGAUUUUGCCUAACGGAGCCGAUCGUCGAAUCGGAUUUCCUAGAAUCGAAAACAACUUACAAGCACGGAGGCCUUCGUACUUUCGAAAGCACGGGAGACGUACUAUAUAUAUAUAUAUAUAUGUAUAUAUAUAGUGCGGCUAGAAUGCUUAUGGAAGCACGGAAGGCUCCGUGCUUCCAUUUUGUUUUCGAUGUUCGGACUUUCGAAUCGGCGUUUGGCUUCGUUAGACUUGAUCUAGAGUAUUUGAAAUAUCUAGAAAAUAAAUUUUGCGAUUUUUCGAUAUCAUUUGCCUAGUGAUCGAAGUGGCUCAAAAUCAACGGCUGAAAAUAAAAAUCUUACAAAAUAUGAUGAUAUGACAUUAAAAUUUUAGAUCAAAGUUAUUGAUCUUGUUUUAUAUGGUAUAAAGAAUUUUCUAUCAAAAUUUCAUGUGAUUUGGAUAUUUCUACACCGUUAAACUUGCAACCGGCUCACCACGGCCAUUAAAAUUAUUGAUUUUGAACCCCUUCGAUAACUAAGCAAAUAAUAUCGAAAAAUCACAAAAUUUAUUUUCUAGGUACUACAAAUACUCUAGAUCAGCUCUAACGGAGCCGAUCGUCGAUUCGAAAGUCCGAACAUCGAAAAUAAUUUGAAAGCACGAAGUAAGCAUACCAGCCCACUCUAUAUAUAACACUCGCUGACUUCACGUCGACCUAAAAAAAAGUAGUGAACUCCACGUGUCUGCCUUGCCUUCAUUUCACUUUUUUGUCUCUGUGAAGGCGGAAGAGUAGAGUGAGGGAGACAACAUCUACUCUGUUCCAAGGGAACAAAGGCAGAGUGGUCGAGUGAAUUCAUAAAGGGAGAAAAAGGAGACCUUCCCUUUACGCUUCAUCGGUCGUACUUCGCUUAUUUGAGACUGCACCACUUUAAAAGGAGACAGCACGUGUUCGUUGAUUAUCUAUGCAUAAAGAACUUUGUUAGUGUAGUCUAGUCUGAUAGUUGAAGUUCUUGUUAAUGGGCAGGAAAAACAUUAUUUGAUAAACAGAUGGGGCGUCACAAGCAUCUAAUGAAAACCCCUUUAACAAGGGGAAAGGGCGUCAAGGCCACGAAGAUUGUGAAAGAAAGAACCGGCCUUUUAGUUGAAAAAAACUAGAGCAAACCCAAGCAAAAGUGAGAUGGCAACGGCUAAAAUCACCCGAGAGAGAGGAGUAGGAAAUAUACUAAAAGAAGGCAGGUACGGUUCCCUACUCCUUAAAAUGUCAUCUUGAUGUGAUUUGAUAAGAGGAAAUUGCCAAAAGAUUGAGAUAGAUAUGUUUGAAUGAAUUCAGACCUCGUCAUGUUCAUCCUUAUUCCCUAACAAAAAUGAAAUCUCUUUUAUUUUAUUAAUUUUUUUAAUCACCUUCACGAAGGAGGUGGACUUCAACCAUCCUCUAUGGCCUUUCAUCUUUCUAUUCUUUUAAAAGAUGCGCAUAAAACAAAACCAAAACCGUGAAGUUUAGCGGUCAUGUUUGAAUCCAAACUAGCUGGAGAUUCGCACAUGACUCUACGAAAUUUCAUAUAAAUCAGACUCAGCCCUAAAUGAUAUAUAUAUAUAUAUAUAUAAAAUUUAAGGUCAUAGGCGUGGGCCAAUUGGCCAAGUGGUCCGAAGCUCUAACGCGUGGCCUACCUGGGAGCAUGUGUUUCACAGAUUCAGAAUGGCCUGUAGCUGCGGGCCUCAAGUAUAGACUAUUGAGUGCAUUAGGGAAAUAAAAACUAAACUUUAAUCAAUUUUAACUGUCUCUUUAGUUAUAUAAACUGUAGAUCCGGAGCGAAUUCUGAAACAAAAUAAAAAUAAGGCAAGUAAAAAACAGCUAAAAUUAAGCUUUACAUUGUGUUUUGUCGACAGGACGGGCAUCCAUGACGCGAGCCAAAUUUCAUAAGAGAGAGGGGGAAAAACGACGUCAGAAGAAACAAACAAAGUGAGGACGUCCGCUCCUUAAAUGCUGAGUCGACGCUCUUCAUUGCUCCUUAACCCAUGCCUGCGCCCACAGGAAGAAGGAAAAAUUCUAGAAUACAUCAGGUAUAUUGAUGAUGUGGCGUAAUAAAUCAAUCAAAUAUUUUUCUUUAGAGGUACAUAUUUCAUCAUGAUUAUAAAAAAAUAUUUUUAUUGUACUUUUAUUUGAAAAGAAAAAAAUAAUUAUUUUGUUAUUGAUGACGUAGUGCAAGUGUGACAGUGUAGAAUUCCUCACGAAGAAGACCCAUACCUGCACCCACACGAAGAAGAAUGUCGACCUCUUGAUAUAAUUCUUAUUCUUCCUCGCAAGUCUCAAUAUCUCCCAUCGAAGUAGAGAAUUAAUUUAAGCGCCUUCAUUAAUCUAUGANUCGACCUCUUGAUAUAAUUCUUAUUCUUCCUCGCAAGUCUCAAUAUCUCCCAUCGAAGUAGAGAAUUAAUUUAAGCGCCUUCAUUAAUCUAUGAUUGAUCGAUCGAUGCAUAUUCCACCGUUAUUCAACUUCUUGCACCUAGUAUGGCUGCUUGUGCCGGCAUCAUCCUCUUCCCCCGACUCCGUCGAUCCAUCGGCGCUCGGGAUGGACGCCCCCAGCUGCAAUUUCGACUUCCCAUUCGGCGCCCCAGGCUUCUCCCAAUACCGAAAGGGCUUCGAGGUGUCUUGCAACCCCAGCCUUUCGGGGAGCCCCUCGUGGCUCCAAGUCGGCUCGAAGAAGCUGCAGAUAAUGAACAUCUCGAUAGCCGAAGGCUACGUGCGCACCGGAAUCACCCCAUCCACGUGGCAGUGCUCUCGCUCGGGCGAGACGGGAGAGGGCAUCAGCCUGGAGGGCACCCCGUUCACCUUCUCCCACACGCGGAACAAGCUGACCGUCGUCAGUUGCGACACCUUCGUCAGCUUUGCGGACCAUCGAAAUUCUAGCGUCUCCGUCGGCUGUGUCUCCUUCUGCCCCUCGCAGCUGAGCAUUACGGAUGGCGCCUGCUCUGGUGUCGGCUGCUGUCAGGCCGCGAUCCCCGUGGGGCUCAAGAGUUUCGACGCACAAUUCUACAGCAUCCCGGACGAGAUAAAACGGCGGUGGAAACUGAAAGUUAACAACACUCUGCAGCCGAUGACGCCCUCCUCGUCCGGUCACCAAAGAAAGGAAGCUCCAAGUAUAGUUUUCGAAAACACGACGCCGCUGUGCAGCAAGGUGUUCAUCGCGGAGUAUGAAAAUUUCACCUUCUCGAAGAGGUAUCUGGAGAUCAGCGGCGACUGGGAGGACGCGCCCCUGUCAAUGGUGUUGGAUUGGGCGAUCGGGAACGAGACGUGUGUGGAUGCGAGGCGGAGGAACGCGUCUGACUAUGCUUGCAUCGACGAUAACAGCUCCUGCUACGACUCCCCGGAUGGGGUGGGGUAUCGCUGCAACUGCAGUGAGGGCUAUCAGGGCAACCCUUACGUCGCCGGCGGAUGUCAGGGUAAGUCUAGUAACAAUAAAAAUAAGGUAUAUAUAUGAUCAUUGUCGCAUGUUCAGCGUUCGGCGGCGAAGUUCAAAAAUUCGAAAUUCCACAAAAAUUCGUUUGAAAAUAUUUUGACAAUCAUUGAACUGAUAAACAAUCAGCAUAUAAUACUAGAAUAUAUAAAGGUAUAAAAUCUCUAUGCAAUACUUUUAUUUUUCAUCAUUUUUAAGAUGAUAAAAGUGAAAAAUGUAAAGAACAAUCUACUUAACAAUGAAUAAUGUAUACAAUAAGUUUUUUAAUAUAUUUUUAUAAUUUUUUUGGGUGAUAUCUAUCUGCUAGCAAAUAAUUUGGCCAAAUAUUCAAACGACUAAGAAGUCUUGAACUAUUAACAAAUUUUGUAAAAAAUUGAAGUCGUGGAACACCUCUAGUUAAGUCAAUGUUUAUAUCUUCUCAGACAUUGAUGAAUGCGCGGAUCGAGACAAAAACAACUGCCUGUGGAAUUGCAGGAACGAGCCCGGGAAAUACCGUUGCAUUUGUCCACGCGGACACCGGGGAGAUGGAACCAAGUACGGAAGUGGUUGCACCAGGGAAGCCGCAAUUACAGAGAUUGGCCUAGGUACUCUGCUUUAAGCCCUGCUAACAUUAGAGUUUAUAUGUUUCCCUGGUAACAAUUUAGAAAUGGAUCACAAUCUAAGCAUAUCAGCAACAAAUAGCACAAAUAGGUUUGCGCUUAUUGCCUACUCUGUUUAGCUUCUGAUUUUUCACUUUGAAGUCGUAGACAACUUUGGCAAAGUGUUUGACUUAAGAAAGGACUAGGACUAUAAAUGCAAUCGGCGAGUACAGUAGCUUCUAAGCUCAAAUGCAUCGGCCAAAGUUGUAGAGAGAAUUGAAAGAUAUCCGAGAGUGAUUACUAUUACUAUUUUCUUUGUUGAGAGAGAAAAGUAAUAUAUCAUUCGUUUUAUUUUUUUUAUAAAUAAAAUUAACUGAAAAUAUAGAACAAUCAGACUUCGAACUUGAAAACAUUGUUAGCAGCCAUCAAACACUUUAUCACUUAUAUUAGAAAGGACCAAUAUAUUAGAGAGAUUUUUAAUAGAGAAACUGUUUUAUUCAAUCUAACAACUUUGGUCAAUAAUAUUUUUGUAGAAUCUUCGAUCAGAUCAGGGCCAUAGAGCCUCUGAUUUCCUAGAAAAAUGAAAUGAUCUCCAAAUCUUUUAUAUAUAUAUAUAUAUAUAUAUAUAUAUAUAUNCUAUAUAUAUAUAUAUAUAUAUAUAUAUAUAUAUAUAUAAAAUAUAUAUAUAUAUCCAACCACUCCUACAAGUGAACAAGAGAAAAGAAGAGACUGUUGGAAUUUUGACAUUAAUUAACGAAACUUGUAAGUUUUGAAUUGUACACAGCGGUUGGGCUGUCGGCUAUGAUUCUGAUCUUCCUGGGAAGCUUGUGGAUAUACUGGCUGCUGAAGAAGCUGAGGCUCGGAAGACUCAAACGUCAGUACUUCAUGCAAAACGGAGGCCUACUAUUGCAGCAGCGAAUCACAUCCGCUCGCAGGGCCACCGCGAGGAUCUUCACCAUCGAAGAGCUCGAGAGAGCCACCAAUGGCUUCAGCAAGGACAGAGUGAUCGGCCACGGCGGCUACGGCACGGUAUACAAAGGAAUACUUCCUAACGACCAGAUCAUCGCCAUUAAGAGAUCGAAGCUGGUGGACGAAAUCCAGAUCGAAUCCUUCAUAAACGAGGUGGCCAUCCUCUCUCAGAUCGAUCAUAAGAACGUGGUUAAGCUACUGGGUUGCUGCUUAGAAUCUCAAGUCCCUCUCCUGGUCUACGAGUUCAUCUCCAACGGCACACUUUUCCGCCACAUUCACGAGAAACCCAACAAUGUGAUUCCGUGGGAGGCUCGCCUCCGAAUCGCAGCAGAGACCGCGACAGCUCUGGCGCAUCUUCAUUCGAGGGCUUCUGUACCCAUCAUUCAUAGGGACGUUAAGUCAGCUAACAUAUUGUUGGACGAGAGCUACACCGCAAAGGUGGCGGAUUUCGGGGCUUCGAGGUUGGUGCCUUGCGACCGCACGCACGUAACGACGCUAGUGCAGGGGACGCUGGGUUAUUUGGACCCCGAAUACUUCUACACGAGCCGGUUGACGGAAAGAAGCGACGUUUACAGUUUCGGAGUUGUGCUGGUGGAGCUGCUAACGGCGGAGAAGCCUGUGUCGUUUUGUCGGACGGAGACGGAGACGAACCUGGCCUCGCAUUUCGUGAUGCUGCUGCAGGGGAAGAGGCUGUGGGAGGUGGCGGACAGUCGGAUGGUGGCGGAGGCGGGGGAAACGCAAAUGCUGCCGGUGGCUGAUCUCGCGAGGAGAUGCUUGAGCGUGAAGGGAGAGGAGAGGCCGACGAUGGAAGAGGUGGCGGUAGAGCUCGAUGCGCUUCUAAGGCUCAUGAAGCAGCACUUAGCAUUGAGAAGAAGCUUACAGGACGGGGCGAGGCCUCUUGCUAAGCCUUUAGCUAUCAAUGACAAUAAUACUAUUGACGAGGUUGGUGCAGAGAGAGUCUGUGAAGGAGGAUGAGCACGGUGAAUGCAAUCUAAUUAACAAAUUAAAUAUUAAAGUGUAUAAAAUUGUAUGGUGCUGUCAAAGUGAAAGUUGUAAAAUGCUUGAUUGUCGAUUUAUUGUAAAAGUGUUGUCUAUUAUAGAGAAAGGUGCCGUUUCACAAAAAUUCUAAUAAACUAAAUUGUAUAAAAGAAAUUAGCUGUUGAAAACUUUUCCGGCUACAACCCAUUUCAUACCAGUCACGUGAACUUCAAAUUCUUUUGCUUAACCUUCUUUCCCUCCGUGCUCUUUUAUUUUCAUUUGAGUUAUUUUAUCCAAUUAAAUUAAAAAUUUUAUUAUACUAAUUAAUCAACAGUUUUGUACAAUUUUAAUUUGAUUAAAAAAGUUCUCUAUUAUAAAUACAGACAGUUUUGUAUAAUUUUAAUUUGAUUAAAAAAAUUCGCCACCUUUGCAGUGUGUAAGGGGGACAUGAGGAACACGAGAGUCCUUCCUCCCCCAAGGGAGAAAGGGGGACAGGAGUAUCACGAGAGAGAGAGAGAGAGAGAGAGAGAGAGAGAGUAGAAAUCUGUAGUAGGAUUGGGAGAGAAUAAAAAAAUGGUACAAAUUUUUUAAAAAAAUUCAAGUAGUGUAAAAAAUUUUAAAAGUACAAAAAGAAAAUCAAUGCAUCUCCACUACGCUCCCACUUUUCAGUCGCGAAAGCUCCAACUACGGAGGUUCCAUCAUUGGGAUAUCCACCCCAAGAGAUUUCCUUCCACACGGCUGAUUGCAAGUGGAUAUUAUUGGUCCAAAGCGCGUUUUGGAAUGAAAAAAUUGGACCAAACACCGACUUAAUCACAAAUAAGGUGACUUUUGAUAUAGUUAUCGUUUUUAAAAUUUUUAAGACGUUAAUUCAAUAGUGAUGAAUGACAAUUUAUUUAAAUUCUUUUAGGCAACUAAAUUAGUUAUUUUAAAAUUUUUAUUUUUAUUGUCAAAUAAAUACCAUAAAUAUAUAUAAGGAUUGCAAGUAAUUCACCAUUCAUUUCUACACUAUUUUAUAAGUAAAUUCUAUUUAACGGAAUGAAUAAAAUAGCAACUAAUACCAAACAAGGCUAAACAUGUAAUACUUUGAAUUAUUAAUCACGAAUUAAUUCCAUUUAUGCUUGAGAUUGACAUAAUUUUGUUUCUUAAUUAGGUCUAAAAUUCUUCACCGGAGGCUAUUGGUUCUAUGUAACAUGUGUAUGUACAACGGGGUCAGGGCAUAUGUUUGGAAAUUUGACGUCAGAAGAAGCAAACAAAGCGACGACGCCCACUCCUUGACUGCUGAGUCGACGCUCUUCGUCACUCCAGCAAGAUCACCAAGAUCAUAUCAUAUCACACACCACACCCACACCCACACCUUCACGGUAUCAUUCUUAUUCUUCCCCUCACGCGCGUCUCUAUAUCUACCAUCGAAGUGGAGAAUUAAUUUAAGCGCCUUCAUUAAUCUAUGAUCGAUCGAUCGAUGCAUAUUCCACCGUUAUUCAUCGUCUUGCAGCUAGUAUGGCUGCUUGUGCCGGCAUCAUCCUCUUCCUCCGACUCCAUCGAUCCAUCGGUGCUCGGGAUGGACGCCCCCAGCUGCAAUUUCGACUUCCCCUUCGGCGCCCCCGGCUUCUCCCAAUACCGAAAGGGCUUCGAGGUGUCCUGCGACCCCAGCCUUACCGGGAGCCCCUCGUGGCUCCAAGUCGGCUCGAAGCAGCUGCAGAUAAUGAACAUCUCGAUAGCCGAGGGCUACGUGCGCACCAGAAUCACCGCCUCCACAUGGCAGUGCUCUCGCCAGGAUGUGGCGGGAGCAAACAUCAGCCUGGAGGGCACCCCAUUCACGUUCUCCCCCACGCGGAACAAGCUGACCGUCAUCAGUUGCGACACCUUCGUCAGCUUUGAGGNUGCGAUUCAGCAUGUAAUUUUUUGAUUAACCUCUUGUUCCUAAAAAAUGAUACGAACUAAUAAUUCUUCGACAAGUUUUGAUUUUUCUUAUGGGUAAUUUCAAUUUUUUGAAAGGAUUCAGCUGCAUUAUUCGGAGUUUCAUCUAUGGAGAUAAGAGUAGCUUUUCAUGUUAUGAUACAGUCAAUGCUCAUCAGGAACAAAUAUAUUAAUUCCUUUACAAUGUUUUCUGUGAUCUAGCUUAAGUUCGGAGGUAGUGAAUUGCGACUACUUGUGCGCAAAGAGCUGGCGAAGAGUGAUGUCGGAACUGUUGGUACAACCCAAACCAUAUUAAAAAUUCAUCAACCAAGAACUCUAACAUAAUUUAACAGAAUCCAGUUUCUCCCAAAUUAAGCUACGGAUCGAAUCAAAUGAAUCCCUAAAAACUGAGCAAGUACCCACGACCUAUUCCAAAUUCUAUCAAACGAAACCAUCAUUGCUCACGAAAAUCACAAAAUUAACGAGAUAAGAUGAGUAUAAGAGAAUCGAUCUUGCCCAAAACCUAAUCCGACAACCCCAUCCUUCUCAUCAGAUCAUCAACAACACGCAAGAAGCAGACAAUAGGGAGCAGACACAGGGAUCACGAUCCUGAUCUCGGCAAACUCCGAUCAUGGGAAGCCCUAACCCUAGAGGAGUGGAGUGGAGUGGAAGGGAGGGGAGAGAGAGGGGGAGAAUGAGAACCUUGACGAUCUCGUCGCUGGGGGCGGCGAUCUCGGGGUCGAGGGCGCGGAUGGUGCCCUCCUCCUUGCGCUCGAGGGUUAGCAGGGCCUCGGCGAGCUCGGCCUCAACACAGCAGCAGCCCACCUCGUCCUGUUAGGGCUUCUUCAUCUUAGGGUCCGAAGGUUCCUGCUAGCGCUUCGUCGCCGCGCUCUAUCCCCACCUCGUCCCGCUAAGGCUUCGUCGACCGUGGCGAUAGUCGCGACACGAUGCUUCACCGGCCGCUGAGGAGGUCGCGGCGUGCGGAGGUUGCGGCUAGGGAGGAGCAGCCGGCGUGCAGAGGUCGCGAAGGUCGCUGCAGCGUGCGGAGGUCACGAAGGGGGCGAAAGGGUUUGGGCGAAAGGGUUUGGGAAAAGUGUUUUGUUCACUUGAGCAGGGAACUAAUAAGGAUUUUUCUGACAAAAUUAAAAAAAAUUAAAAAAAAUGAACCUUUUGUGACGAAUAUAUAAAUUUUCUCGCUAAAUAUUUCGGGCUCUUUGGCGCCAAGUGAAAAAAAUGGCGCGGUAAUCAAUAGCGGGGAAAAAUAUUUGCAACAAAAAUUUUUAUUAUUUUUUCUGGCGAAAUUAUAACUAUUGUCACAAAAAAUUAAUAUUUUUGUGGCCAUAUAUCACAAAUCGCCACAAAUAAAUACUGAUAAUAUUUAUAUUUUUUAAAAAAUAUGACAAAGGCUCUAUUGUGACGAAAAAUAAUCGCCACAAUAAAUAAUAUAUACAUUUUAUGACAAUUUAUUAUAUUUCUACAUAGAUGGCUAACGCAUUUACUGCGAUUUUCGAGACAUCGCCGCUAUUUCAAUUUUAAAUAUUCGCAAACAAAAUUUGCGGGGAAAAAAUAAAAAUCCCCACAAAAAAUUUACCAUUAAUGAAGAUUUUUAGUUGGUCACAAAAAAGUCUCCACAAAAUAUUGUAUUUCUUGUAGUGGCUGCUGCCAAGCUACGAUCCCCGUGGGGCUCAAGAGCUUCGUCGACGUGCAAUUCCACAGCGUCACGGACGCGAUAAAAGGGUGGUGGAAACUGAAAGUUAACAACACGCUGCAGCCGUUGACGCCCUCCUCAUCCGGUCACCAAAGAAAAGGAGCUCCAAGUAUAGUUUUUGAUCCGCCUGAUUUCGAAAACACGACGCCGCUGUGCAGCAAGGUGUUCAUCGCGGAGUAUGAAAAAUUCACGUUCUCAAAGAGCGAUAUGCUGUUCGGCGCUGCCUGGGACGACACGUCCCUGUCGAUGGUGCUGGAUUGGGCGAUCGGGAACGAGUCGUGUGCGGAGGCGACGCGGAGGAACGCGUCUGACGACUAUGCUUGCAUCGACGAGAACAGCAUCUGCUACGACCCGCCGGGUAGGGCGGGCUAUCUCUGCAACUGCAGUGACGGCUAUCAGGGCAACCCUUACGUCGCCGGUGGAUGCCAGUGUGAGUUUAGUAACAGUAAAAUGUUAUAUGCCUUAUUAAGGUAUAUAUAUAGGAAUAUACGAAUUAAUACAAUCAGAGUAUAUAUCUUUAUAUUCCUAAGUUGUUUUUAAUAAUGAAACUUCCGAAACCAUAAAAUGUUUACAAAUUCUAUAAAAUAAAUUUUUUAUGCAAUACUUUUAUUUUCACCAAUUUCUUAGACAAUAAAAAGAGAAAAAUGUAAUGAACAAUCUAUUUAACAAUGAAUAAUGUAUAAAAUAUUAAAAUAUAUUGAUAGAUUCAUACAUUUUUUUAAUAUUUUUUUAUAAUUUUUCGGUUGAUACCUAUACGCUAGCGAAUAAUUUGGCCAAUUAUUCGAACAACCAAAGAGUCUUAAACUAUUAAUAAAUUUUGUAAAAAAUUGGAGAAGUUUGUCACCACCUAUAUAUUUUCAAGUUUUCUAUCGACAAUAAGUUACAUAAGAGAGCACUUACAACCAUAUUCAGCCUUUCGGAGUCGUGGAACACCUCUAGUUAAGUCAAGGUAUCUAUCUUCUCAGACAUUGAUGAAUGCGCGGAUCGAGACAAAAACAACUGCACGUGGAAAUGCACGAACAAGCCCGGGGAAUACCGCUGCAUUUGUCCACCGGGAUACAGGGGAGACGGAACCAAGAACGGAAGUGGUUGCACCAAGGACGCCGCAACUACAGAGAUUGGCCUAGGUACUCUGCUUUAAUCCCCCGCUAACAUUAGGGUUUAUAUGUUUCCCUGGUUCAAGUUAGAAAUGAUCACAAUCUAUGCGUGUUAGCAACAAUUAAUAGCACAAAUAGGUUUGCUUUUAUUGCCUGCCUUGUUUAGCUUUUGAUUUUUCACGUCGAAGUCGUAGACAACUUUGGUACAGAGUUUGACUUAAAUAAAGGACUAGGACUGUAGAUGCAACUGGAAAAUGCAUGGGCCAACACUGUAGAGAGAAUUCAAAGAUAUAGGAAAGAGAUCAUUAUUAUUGUUUUUAGAGACACAGAAAAGUAGUAUGCUUUUCGCUUCAAUUAUUAUUUUUUUAAAUAAAUUUACUAGAAAAUAUAAAAUAACAGCUCUCAAACUCUUUUUCACCGGCGGCGCUAGGGACGGCAGGUAUAUCAGGGAGAUUUUAAUAAAGUAACUGUUUUAUUCGGCCUUAACAACUUUGGUCGAACAAUAUUUUCUUAAAAGCUUCGAUUAGAUCAAGGAUUCAGGGCCAUAGAGCCUCUGAUUCACUAGAAAAAUGAAAUGAUCUCCAACACUUAGAUAUAUCAAACCACUCGUUCAAGUGAACAAGAGAAAAGAAGAGCCCGUUGGAAUUUUGACAUUAAUUAAUGAAACUUGUAACUUUUGUAUUGUACACAGCGGUUGGGCUGUCGGCUAUGGCUCUGAUCUUCAUUGGAAGCUUGUGGAUAUACUGGCUGCUGAAGAAGCUGAGGCUCGGAAGGCUCAAAAGGAAGCACUUCAUGCAAAAUGGAGGCCUACUAUUGCAACAGCGAAUCACAUCUGCUCGCAGGGCCACCGCGAGGAUCUUCACCAUUGAAGAGCUCGAGAGAGCCACCAAUGGCUUCAACAAGGACAGAGUGAUCGGCCACGGCGGCUACGGCACGGUAUACAAAGGAAUUCUUCCUAACGACCAGAUCAUCGCCAUUAAGAGAUCAAAGCUGGUGGACGAAUCCCAGAUCGAAUCGUUCAUAAACGAGGUGGCCAUUCUCUCUCAGAUCAAUCAUAAAAACGUGGUUAAGCUACUGGGUUGCUGCUUAGAAUCUCAAAUCCCUCUCUUGGUUUACGAGUUCAUCUCCAACGGCACGCUUUUUCACCAUAUUCAUGAGAAAUCCAAUACAGUGAUUCUGUGGGAGACCCGCCUACGAAUCGCAACAGAGACGGCAGCAGCUCUUGCUUAUCUCCAUUCGAGGGCUUCUAUACCCAUCAUUCAUAGGGACGUUAAGUCAGCUAAUAUAUUGUUAGACGAGAGCUACACUGCAAAGGUGGCGGAUUUUGGGGCGUCGAGGCUGGUGCCUUACGACCGCACGCACGUAACGACGCUAGUGCAGGGGACGCUGGGUUAUUUGGACCCCGAAUACUUCUACACGAGCCAAUUGACGGAAAGAAGCGACGUUUACAGUUUCGGAGUUGUGCUAGUGGAGCUGCUAACGGCGGAGAAGCCGGUAUCGUUUUGUCGGUCGGAGACGGAGAGGAAUUUGGCCUCGCAUUUUGUAAUGCUGCUGGAAGGGAAGAGGCUGUGGGAGGUGAUGGACGGUCGGAUGGUGGCGGAGGCGGGGGAAAUGCAAAUGCUAUCGGUGGCUGAUCUCGCGAGGAGAUGCUUGAGCGUGAAGGGGGAGGAGAGGCCGACGAUGGAAGAGGCGGCAGUGGAGCUCCAUGCGCUCCACAGGCUCAUGAAGCAGCACCUAGCUUUGAGAAGCAGCUUGAAGGAAGGGGCGAGGCCUCUUGCUAAGCCUUUAACUAUCAAUGACAAUGAUACUAUUGGCGAGGUUAGCGCGGAGAUCCACCUUCUAUCGUGCACGGAUAGUCUGUGAGGGAGGAUGAUCGCGCACGGUGAAUACGAUCAAAGAUACUUGAUGACAAAUAAACAUGUAAUUUUUUGGAUUAUUAAUCACCAUCUUUAAUUCUAUCUGUACUUGAGGUGAUUGGUUUUAAAUGCGCUUUAGUUUGUAAGAAGCAUACGCUUUCCUCGGUCAUUUUGUUGUUGAGGCUUCACCGUACGAGUUAGGAUUUGCCUAUAGAUGUACUGAAUUGAAGGCACACCAGCACAAUCCUAACCUGAUUUGAAUAACUAUUCAUCUAAUACCAGAGUUUCUUAUAAGGGCUCGGCCGCUUAGAUUGGAUUCCCAUUAAAUUAACCUGCAACUUCUAUUUCUGCAACUGCGUCCUACGAAAGAUUCGACUUAACUCUAAGCCCUCGAGCCUUCCUAGUACACUUAGACUAGACCCGAGCAAAGAGCGGGCUAUGCAGGGUCCAAGUAUUUUGGGGCCGUGCCCGGAAUUUGUUCGACCUAUUCUGAGCCUGAAACCAAACCAAAAUGAUCGGGUUGGCGGAACCAUACGGAACUGGAUCGCAUAGAAUGCAAAAAUUCUAGUCCGGAACGGAUCAACUAAUCAAAGAGAAAGGCGCUGAAAACUCAGACCCAGACUGAGCCUAACGCAAGCGGCAGAAACGGAUGGACGGGUCGGGCCAGGUUUUUUCUAAGACAUAUAAUCUCAAUCCUAAUCUUCCACAACCUUAAUCCUAAUCUACUUAAGAUUCCGAGGCUAGCUCUCCCAAAGGCCAAAGGGUGAGGGUCGAUGAUGAUGAUCGUCAUAAAUUGACGGUUGAGAUCAAGCCAACAUACCAUCCUCCCCUAGGGUUUUCCUCUUUUUAAGCUCUUUUCUCCUUGGCUUUGCCACCUCUUUCCUGGUCCCCGUCCAUCGAAACCUCGCCAUGUAUGGCAGCGCCGGCGAACCCUAAAGAGGAGGGGGAGGAGGAGAACUCCUCCUCAUCAUCAUCAUCAUCAUCAUCUCGUCCCUUCGCCUCCGCCGUUGCAGCGAUCGCCGUCGCCCAAAUCUGCGGCGGCGCCGGGUUCACCGCCGCGGAGCCCUGCGCCCUCCGCGCCCUCUCCGACGUCGCGGCGCUCUACAUCGAAGCCCUCGCCCGCUCCGCCGCCGGCCACGCCAACGACCGCGGCCGCACCGACUCCAACCUGCUCGACCUCGUCCGCGCCCUGGAGGAGCUCGAGGCGGCGGCAUGCGGCGGCUUCCUCGGGGGGUCAGACCCCGCGCGGCUGCUGCUGCGGUCGAGCAAGCUGAUGGAGCUCAUGGCCUUCGUGCGGGACGCGGACGAGGUCCCAUUCGCCAAGCCCAUACGGCGCCGCGCCGGGAAAGGAGGAGAGAGACGACGGGCUCCGCCGAGCUUCGUGGAGGCGGGGAAAGAGCCGCCGAUGCCGCACGUGCCGCGGUGGCUCCCGUGCUUCCCGGAGUCGUGGGAGGGUUGGGGAAGAAGAGGGGAAAAGGAAAUGGCGGCGAAGGAGGAAGAGGAGGAGGAGAUGGCGGUGGGGACGGGAAUGGAUGGGGUGGUGAAGAGGGAAGAAUCGGGGGUUGCCGGGGUUUUACCGGAGGAGAGGGCGAGGGUCAGGUUUCGGAUCGGGGCUGGUUCUGAUCGGCGAAGGCGAGGAAGGUGAAAAUGGUGGAGAAUAAUGGGGUGAAUUAUUAUUAUUCGGGAAAAUGGAUAUUUAAUGAUUUUUAAUAAUUAAAAUUUAAAUACAGCUGAUUUUUGUUGGGACGGGGAUUCGAUCCCAUGAUGUGCGAGCCAAACGGUAUCGUGUGCUGGACCUGAGCACCAUCUCACCAGCGUAGCGGGAAGACUCGUGGUCUUCAAUAUUUUUAAUUAUUGUAAUUAGUUGAAUGCUUCGUUUACAAGCUCCGCUUCCAUUCCCCCAACUGUUAAUAACUAAGAAGAAGAAAUGCUGGUCUCGCUGGGUAUAGUUGUUUUUGUUUUUCCGAAAUAAAUUUCAUGUGUUGUAGAUAGCAUGAUUUGUUGAAGCGCGGACGUCUAAUUACGGAGAAUCUGUAUAAUGAAAAUUAAUAAUUAGCAGAAACUAUUAGGCUAUUUUUUUUUUUCCCUGAAUAUGCUGUUACAUGAUCAAGAUGUACUCCAAGCUAAUCAACCCUACAAACCACAGUGGAAAACAGUGCGUUUGUGAGAUCCGAAUUCUGCCACUAUCAAAUAUUUCCAAUGUUAUUCCAUCAAAACAUAGCAAUAGAAGGGAACUCUACCUUACUAAGAUCUGACAAAACGAAGCAAACCAAAUGGCUGCUAAAGAUAAUUUACUCACUUUUAUAAAAAGCCCGUACGGAUGAUGAGCUUGUCACUAGUGCUACACCAACAUCCAAAUUCUACAAGUCUAUGCUUCUACAAUCCGCACACACGGCUGCAUUUCAUUAGCAGCUAGUAUUUCAUGUGUUCAAGGCCAUUGCACUCAAUUCAUUUUAAAAGUGACCAUGGAGAAAAAGAGAAGCAUGCCACCAACCCCAACAGUAUGUUUAUAAGCAGGUAAGAUGCCAAAAUUAUGGGCACUGCCUCAUAAGACAUAGACUACAUAUUCAAAAGUCACUCUGCUGGACACCUGAAUCAACGCCAAUAUGAUGCUUCCGUAUUCACGAAGAGUUGCUAAAUUUUUAGGCCAGUUAUAUUUCCAUUAAUGCAGAACAACACAGAAAGAGCGCAAGGAACAGAGGGCCGGAUUAUAUUUGCUUUACCUCGUAUUCAUGACAAAUUCUCAAAGGAGUGUCCUUAGAAACCGGCCUCUCUUCAGACCACAACUCCAAGUUAACGGUUCCAGUUCCCCAGUGCAACAAACACUUGCUAACCUGACUCAGCUCAAAGCGGUUGAUCAAACACACACCUGUGCAUUUGUCAACCAGCAUCCAUUCCCCUGUAAGAGUAGCAAAAAAGCCAAAUAAAUGAUGAGAUGAAAAAUUAAAAUAAAAUAAAAUAAAAUAUUACGCAUUCAUGUACGUAGAAGACAUAAAAAUAAACCGAAGUACCAAAUGCUGUUAUUGAAGAUAAGUAAAAUUGUACGACUUUUUAUCUGAACUACAGUGUGUAUUCAUACUAGGAGCCUGAAACUUUGAAAUUUUUUAUUUUACCUAACAUUACAAUAUAUUUGAUUCAACUAUUCCACUGUCAGAACUAAACAACAUUAUUAAUAUCUUUAACUAUAUAUUCUAUAACUUGACUAGAUAUCCGCAACUUUUGGACAUUUUUGCAACUUUCCUGACGGAAUUUGUGAGUUCUAACUAAAUUUGAUGGAACUUUCUAUAAUCGAAAGAAAGAAAAGGAAAUGAGGUGAAAUAAUUUUUUUUAAAAAAAAAAAAAUCAACUGCCACUUUCCUAGUAUCCUAUAUUUUAGCAAAGGUCUGCAUGUUUUUGUCUUAAGAUGUAAUAGCGUCAAUCAACCAAUCAAUUGCACGCAAAAUGUAUAUUUUACCAUUAGGACGGAGAUCUCCCUCAAAUAAUUGCUCUCCAGGUUCGGGGGAGAUCUCAUGCAUCAAACCAUCAAUAGAGGUGAAAGUGACCAAAACUUCAGAGGGGUGUAGAAGGGUGAAAGUUGGGUGCACUCGCAAGCAUACCAACCUAUUACACACCAAGGAAAAAAAUAAUAAUCAUCAUUUUAUUAGUUUUUUGUACGCUAGAAAUAAGAACAUUAAGUCUAAAGAUAAACAUUUAGGCCGUGUUUGGAUGUUUGAAUAGAUAUCCAAUAAUAACUUAUUCGGUAUGAAGAUUUUCUUCUAUAAUUGGAAGAUAGGAGUUAGAUUUUUGCUCCUUGAAGAGUUUUGGCAUCCAUGAUUUAGUAGGAUAAUAUAGGAUAAUAUAUUACACCUGAUUUGUCUUAUUUGAAAAAAAAAUGACUUGAAUGCAAUUUAUGGCAUCCAUUUUAAACAUUUGAUCAUACCAAUCUACCAAAUACUAUAAGCUUUUUGAGUAAAUUGAAAGAAUAGACUGAAUAAGAUGUUCAUUUAUAAAAAAGGUACGAAUGGUGAUAUUAACCUUGAGAAACCACCAGAACCAGCUCCAACAUUCUGCGCAACAAUGCUAGAGUCAAUUUGGAGGAUCUUUCGGUCAUCCUUUGGAAUAGAUAUCUGGCGGCGAAUAAUCAAUCCACCACCAACAUCCCCCUCCAAGCAAAGCGAUUCUUCCUCUCCUGAUUGUUCAAGGUCCCUCCUACAAAUUCAAUCAUCAAGGGAUGAUUAAAAAUGCAUUGAUUAAUUUAUAAUAGAAAAGGCAGGUAACAGUUUGUCCAGGUUAUACAACUAGUGCUGACAAUUAACAUGCAAAGACAGAUAAAAAUACAGGAGCACAAGUUCCUAUCAAAUUAGCUACUUCAUCAGUAACAUAACAGAAAGGCCAAAAGAUCCUUACCCAACAACCUUAUACUCCUCAGAGCAACCAGAAGAUCGGUAUUCUGUUCCACUGUACUCUUCAUAUCCAUCUCUUUCAACUCUGCUAUGAAGCCACUGGGUACCUAAACCAAAUAUUAAAAGAGAAAAGAUUUAUAUUUCAACUACUCUAGAAAGAUAAAAACCUAUAGAUGUAGCAGUAUACAUAAAUCUCUCAUGCGAACUUGGUAGCUCCCCUUCUGAAGACCUGCAGCAAAUACAUCUCACAUGAAAUUUUAUUUGGGAUCCUAAAAUGAUCAUGCCUUGGCAAGAAGCCAAGAGAAGAUUUGGUAUUGUUUCACAUAUUGUCACAUAAAAAUGAGAUACCUAAAAAGUUGCUGCCAAGGCACAUUCACUGACACUCCAUAGUCUAGUCCAUGUCUACAAAAAUGGGACAAAAAGAACUAUCAAAGCAGGCUGACAGUUAGGCCUGAUUAAAUGUUUUACCCACACAGCUAACUGACUCUGAUGAUUUCAAACAAAUUCACCUUCUUUUUUUUCCCGGGGGUUGGGGGGGGGUGGUUUGGAGGAGAGGAUGGGGGGGUUUUUAGCCCUAAUGAUAUUGUGACAGCAUAAGCUUGUUGUUUAACUACACAGUUUAGCCUACUGUCUGACCUCUUCGUAAUAUUUAGGCUUUAGUGAAUGUCUUUGCAAACUCUUACUUAACUAGUUAACAAAAAGCCCAUAUCGGUGCUUUACUAGCUUACACUGGCAAAAGGCAUCAAAAGUUUCCAGGGGACAAAAAACAAAUCUAGACCGUCAAGCAAAUGAAUAAUAAAGAUUUUAUGAAGGAUGAGUGAUAUGACUUUUACCUGUAGGGAUAUGCAUCAUUGAGAUAAUCCGCCCCCCAAUCCACGGUACUAUUUUGAGAACCCAGUCACCACUUUUCAGAUCGAUAGGGAUUUUUGACAGCUCAAUGCCCUUUACUCCAGAAACUUCAUCUACAUCUGGGAUAGGCUUAGCUGCUUCUGUACAUCAUUGUAAUAGCCUUCUCAUAUGAGUAGAAAGACAUAUAAACCACAAGAAAAGAAGAGAAAAAGAACUAUAGCCAAUACAAUUAUUCUCAUUUUCCGCAUUUCUGUCUUCUUUACUUCUGGCGGCAUACUAGUAUAGAACAUGCACACUAAUAAAAAUGGCAAGGAAAUCUUGAGCAAACAAGAUAUGAUUUACUGCCUUGUUAGCACAGCUAAUUGACAAAUGAUAUAAAAUCCGUCCGACCAUUUCGGAUGAUACUUUUCCCAUUUUAUAUGCUACCUAACCUGAUAUCGUAGAUGCAACGAUUUAAGUGCCAUGGAAUGGGAUUGUGCCCAAAAUUCCCUAACACGGUAUACCAUGCUACGUGCCGUAUCAUGCUGAUGCAUGUCUGUCACAAAAAAAUACCUAUGUGUAUUGACACACAAUAGCAUAAAAUAUUUAUUUUCUUUGGCAUCAAUAUAUUUUAACUACUUAUUAUAUAUUUUAAUCAAAACUUUUGCACUUUAUUACGAUAAAUACUAGCUAAUUUCAAAGAAAAAAAAUUUGAGCCAUGGCAUGGGCACGGGGAUCAUAUCAUGCCAAUAUAUUGUCCGCACAAUCCGUGUCGAUGGGCACUUGAACCCUUGCUUAGAUGUGUGCACAUUUGUAAAUACAGUAUCAAAUUGAGAAGAGCGUAAAAGCACCUAAACGUGCUCUGUACUGAUUUUCACUUUCUGCUACUAAGUUGGACACUUCAGAUUCCGAAGGCACUAUGAUAUGUAUUUCAUCUCCAUCAGUGCCUUGAGAAUUGAUCUGCAAAAAGAAAGUUCAAUACGAAAUAUACAGUAUGCUAUCAAAAUAAGUGCUAUUGAAAGGGAAAGAAAAGAACUAAGCAUGGACUGAAAAAAUACACACCAUGGCACCUCCACCCAGAAGUAAAUGCACAUGAAGCACACGUUUUGGCCUCUUCCGUAGUCCUUCAGUCUUAGAGACUUUAACUGUCACGACUGAAGAAUCUAGUUCAGCAGCAUAGUAAGUCAAGAGAAAAUCUCCUUUAGUGUACUCAUAUCCGUCGCCGUCAUCCUCAAACAAUACACCAGCAGCUUUACCUGGGAAAAGAAGCAGAUGCUAAUAUAGUUCAUGGCAGAAAUAUGGUUUGUAGCCGCACACACAAAAAAAAAACACCAAGAUAUUUUGCACUAAAAUUGAGAAAGAUUUCAACACUAUGAGUGAGUGCAAAAUUAUUUGGUACUUGUUGACGACAUCUGUCUCUCUGUUUCAUAUAGAACUACAAUAUAUAUAUCCUUCAAAACUAUACCCAAAGAAGACCAAGUAGCUGGGAAUUAACCAAGGGGGUUAAAACAAAUUUUACCAACAAAUAUGCAUCCUUUAAGACUAAACCAUCAAUGCACAUCGGCACAAAAUGAUGUUGAAAAGAAACAUGCUAUUACUUAUUUAUUCCAAAGACAACUAUACAGCAGUGGAGUCAUUUAUACAGCAAACUAAAGAAGACAGUCACUUUAGACCACUGUCAUAUGCUUAUUGCACUUUAAGCAUAGCCGCCAAACAUCUAAUGCAUGACUUUAGACCACUGUUCAUGCUUAUUACACUUUAAGCAUAGCCACCACAGGUUUAAUGUAUGAUGGGGCAUUAAUGUCAAGAAAUAAUACUGAGUAGCAUCGAAUCCACAUUAUUGUUGCACAUGGUUUAUGGUAUCAUCUAAAUGUGUGCAUGUAUAUUUAAGAAACACUCCUGAACCACUUUCAGUGAAAAAUUACAGGGAAUGCAUUUAUGCUGACGUCGAUGGGCUAACAGAUGUAUAUAUGCAGAUAUUUUCUUUGUCAAGGCUACCAAGUAAAGAAAAGCCUUUAUAGUUCAAACCAAACAAUAGAAAUACAAAAAAUAACAGAAGUUACCAUCUUUAUCUAAAGCAACAAAAAGUGACAAGUCGUCCUCUGCUUUUGCUUCACCAACGUGUUGAAUUGGAGGCCCUAUGGGAAGUAUUGACCCACCUUGUAGAAACAAAGUUGGCAAGUCCUGAGAAAUAUUUUAAGAAAUAUUAAAACAAAGAAAUCAACAGUAAAGGAGUAAGACCUUGUAGUAUAUGUGAAUUAACUUACAGGAUGUGAAUCACCAAAAUCAAAAGGUAACCAGAUUCCUUUUGGCAAGAUGUGCGACAAUUCAUGUGCACUUUGAUCAGGACCAGUGCUGUCAAUUACACUCAACAAUGUCAAUAAGAAGAGCAAAUGAUGGUGAAAACAUAUUAUUGUGCAUUCCUCAACUACCAUUUUUUCUGUUUAUAUUUGCCCAUAAAAGGAUCAAAAUACAUAAAUUCUCAAAUAUGUUAAUCUGCCCAAGAAUCAACAGAUAGUUGAUAUCCCAAACAUUCAUGAAACAAAGAUGAUCAUUUUUUGACCCAAAAAAGAGUAAGGUAUACCUAGAACAUAUCAGAAGUGGCCCCAGUAAAAAUGAAUUCUCAACUGUCCUCAACCUUGAAUCUUGUGGAUCUGCACAAACCAGCAAGGCGUCAAUACAUAAUUCGUCAUGCUCUCCUAACAUUGGAUCAAACUUGUAGAAGUUUACCAGCAAAAAAAGUUGGAGCAGCAACAGGAGUUCCAUUCAUAUGAGACAUAUAAAAAAGUGUAUAUAUGUGAGGAAGCAAGCGAUAACGCCUCAACAAUGCCAGACGGCAUACUUCUUCACACUGCGGAAUAAACCUAGGAUUAGAGUUGACCAAAAGAAAACAUUUUAGAAGAUAAAUGCUUACCCCCUUCUUUUAUCACACUCACUAGGUAAUUCUGGAUAUGUAUGUCAUCUAUUUCUCAAAAGAUUCAUUUUCCUAAAUUUAGAGAUAAUAUGAAACCUAAUCAAAAUAAUUUUAAGAAGUUUCAAAUGCAAGCUAAACAUAUUUUGCACAGGCUUGCCAUUUUUUGGCCUAAUGAAAAAUUCAAGUUUUUUAACUUGAUCAUAAGAAUGUUUAACAUACCAAUGAAUGCAUCACUUGUAACAUAAAUUGUGGUGACUAGAGUACUACCAAUCGAAAUUCAUUUGAAAUGGACUAGAUCUCCAUCAUGUAGCAUUGGCAGGAAAUGAAAGACAGAUUUAUUUUCAAAUGUUUAAACAAAUACAUGCGUCAUGCAGGUCUUGAUCUGGUAAAGAAUACAAAGUACCUAAAAACAUGAUUUGACCUAAAAUAAUUAUUCAAAGGCAUGUUCAAUGGUGAAGGUUUCUACUCUCAAAUGAAAUGGCAUCUAUAAUUGAAAUAAUAGUUCAUUAUUAGCAUGAUUUUACUAUUAGAUGCAUCUCAGAAAAAGAGGAAUGAUAAUAUCAGCUUGUAAGUAUCAGCAUAUUCAUAGUAUGCACUGAAGAACAAAAGUUACCUGACUUUUUGUGCUUAUCUUUGGAUAACAGAUUGAUCUUGAAAUUACUAGAUUAAAAAGCAGGCAUUCUCUAGGAUUUGAAAUUCUGUCCAAAGAUGUACUCACAGUUCUGGAGUCAAAAGUUUUCAAAAAUGUUGCAGGAUAGAAUUGAAAGUGGAAAAUCAUUGGGCUAUUUAUGCUUUGUUGCUACAGUUAUUUCACGCUUAGCGCACUAUCAAGUGACUGAAAUAAGCAUUUGAGGUACUUGAAGGAUAAGUAUUGAGGAUAUACUUCUUCCCCAAAUGACCAGGGCUCAUGGUCAACUGUUCCCUGUUCAGUGUGCCCACGUGAGAAAGGAAACAAAGCCCCGACUCCCAUCCAUCUACCAAAAAGUUUCGCUGUUGCAUUUCCAGCAAAUCCGCCAAUAUCUGGCCCAGAUAAUGGCUGGCCACUAAGCCCCUGUCAGAAAACUAAAUAGUCAUUGAACUAAAUAUAUAGAAGCCCAAUAUAAAAUGCAUUCUCCAUAUGGUUACAUUGCUAAUAUUUUUAUGGACUAGACCUUUCCCUCAAUCCCCUAGAAAUUUGUGCUUGUGUCUGGCCUCAUCAUGCUUGGGAAGGUUUUGAUGCAAUCUAGACUCAAAAUCCGAAUCCAUAUUCAUACCCAACUUCUAACAGGUUUGGGACUGGGCUCAGAUGAAACAUAAAACAAACACAAUCCAAACCCAUUUUUUUAGAUCAAAGCCCAUUAGCAGAGCAUCUAAAUAGCAACCACAGGGCACCUAAGUGAAUCCGAAUUUCUAUUCUCUGGGUCACAUGCACAUAGCACCUCCAAGCACCUAAUACUGUAGAGCUCUUCUACACCUUAGUAGGCAGUGUCCCUAAGGCUGGCUAAUGUUUUUAAGUAAACAUCUGCAAAUUGGAUGUCAUAUAGACUAGAAUAUGCUUUGUUCCCAAAAGAGACUAGUAAGCAACUAAGCAUACACAAAAAAACUUACCAAUUGAAGAACCAUAGAUAUACUCAUAUGGAGGUGCUCCCAAUUCGACAAAUUAUCUCCAGUCCAGGUUGCAGCAUAACGCUGACUUCCUAUAAACCCAGCUCUUGUAAGAACAAAAGGUCUUUUAGUCCGACAACCCAUUUUCAUUCCCUCAUAAGUUGAUCGUGCCAUCAGCAUGCCAUAAACCUGCAUGUAGCUAAAAGUUGAGAAUUAUUCCAAACUUCAGUAUGUAAAAAGUAAUAAAAGAAUUUCAGAAUAAGCAAAAUUGCCACAAUACCUGAAAUAGCUCUUUAUUCAUUUGAAACUUAACCAAAUUCUAAUUUAGUUUGACGAGAUUACAUGUAUGCUAUAUAUAGAUAAUUACAUUAUGAUAAUGAGAAUGAUUUUGGCAACCGCCAAGUUCAUCAUCUCCUCUGUGGAUGUUGCUCUCUGGCAUUGUUUUCGUUAUGGUCUGCAAAUCAACAAAAAUGAAUGUAAAAAAAAGUUCAACAUCAACGCAUGGAAUUCAAGGUGAAGUCCCAGAAGGCUUACUCUAAAAACUGCAGGCUCAUUCAUAUCGUUCCAUAUCCCAUCAACACCGUUGGACAUGAAGUCUUUUACUAAGUCAGCCCACCAUGAACGUGUCUUUUGUUGUGUAAAAUCAGGGAAAACACAAGGCCCCGGCCAAACGUCCCCUAAAAAACCAGUCAAAGAUUGAAACUGACCUCAAUUUUAAUCCUUCUUAUACUUUGAACUAACAAACUUUACCGACAAAAGGUUUGCCAUCUGCCUUCUGAAUCCAGACAUCAUUUUUAGAUCCACUAUCAAAGACAAAGUAGCCCUCCUCAUAUUUGAUGCCUGGGUCAAGCAUCCAAAUUGCUUGGCAGCCAAUUUUGUGGAGAUCAUUCACCAUAGACUUUGGACUGGGGAAGCGUUCCUACAAUAAUACGGAGGAUUAUGCAUAUUUUGUACAUUUAAGAAGUAAACCCAAUAUGCAGACCAUGAAAUAUUCAAGUCAAGUACCUGAAAUUACUAGGAAAGAUAUACAUUAAAUAAUGAUAUCUAAAACUUCUAACUUACAGAAGCUAUUAUACAAACAUACUUUUAGUCAAGAAGAAGUAUGAAUAUCGUUCCAAUCAUCAGCGAAAUGUAAUUAGUGAACAAAGAAAAACAAAUAACGAUACCUUGCCACAUUAUUGGGAGUGGGCAAACUAAGAGAUGGUAACAUGUAUUUGUCAUACGCAAAAUUGUCUAUGCUUAAGCAUUUCAUAUACAUGGUUGAAAGGAUGUAACCCGUUUCAAAUUUUAUCUGCAUCUGCUGGUCGCUUCAGCUAUUAUGCAAUUCUUUAGCAUGAUAAAUUUGUCACAUAAUAAACUUUACUCACAACAUGGGAAACAAAAUAGAAUAAUAAGAAUCAUACAUGGUCAAAUGUGAAACAUCGGAAACCAUCCAUGUAGUCAAUAUCCAUCCAUAUGACAUCACAAGGUAUGCCUUUCUCACGAAAUGUUCUAGCCACCUGUGCCAGGAAAAGAACGAAAUGUAACCACAAUGAGUAGGUUCUCUAGUUCAAUAUCAGAGUAAGACUAUGCUAUUCGAAUGUCCAAGGACCACCAUAUCCAAAUACAUGGCAAUCAUAAAUCUCUACUGUGAGAUGAAUGCAGGCACUCUUUUUCCUUUCUAGAGUAAAUUUCAGAAGGUUGGGAAACUAAAACUUAAAAGGUCCGCCUCAAGAGGAAAUCACUGAACUUCCAUAAUGAACAGUGCAGUACCUUAAGAACUUUGUCAGCAGAAUCAUAGCUCCAACGGCAUUGAUGAUAGCCAAGAGACCACUUUGGAGGCAUAAAAAUGGUUCCUAAUUUGAGGGCAAUUAUAGUAUUUCAAUCAAUUUGUACAGGAAAAGGUUUAAGUAGCAUCACUAAUUUACUUGUGUUGCAGCUUACUUAGUCCUAUAUCAAGUCGAGCAAAAAAGACAUAAGAAAAUGAAAGGUCAACGACAAUAAGGCAGCAAAAAGAAUAAUAGCUGUGAAUCAUACAUUUAAGAUCUGCAUAUCUUCAGAAUAAAUGAAGAAUUGAACAAACAUGUAAAAAUUUAUCUCUGUAUACUGUUACUUUGUGUUGUAAGGACUAAAUGUUAGAACUUCUGAAACAACAACACAACAAGUGAUUUUUGAAUGAGUCUGUUGAACGUCCCCAUAAACUAGGUAUUGGAGACCAUGUUAAGGGCAAUUCUAAGUUUUGAAUGAUUCUUGAGUGUUGUUCGGACAUCUUUUCCCUUUGCUUUACUGUGGGCUGGUGUUCUAGUUUGGACAAUUUUGAAAAUCUUAGAGUGAGAAUUCUACCAUCCUUUUUUCGUAUUACAGCUUGUUCUUGUUCAAUUUUUAAUUUGUUACAGGAAAGAAUUUUCAUUCAUUUUUUCCAGUUUCUAAAUUAUAUUUUGCUUAAUCAAAUUCAUUUUUCUAACUAUUGUGGAUUUAUUAGUUUGACUUCACAAAUAUACAAGACUAAAACAAGAAUAAGCAAGCUAUUAAGUCACCAAUCUGGUUUAGUAAGGAGCAUAGUUGAUUCAAAACAAAUACGCAGCAUGUGUAAGAAGAAAAAUAAAAGCAAACCACACCAAAGUUUCCAUGCAAAGGUACACCGUCAAUAUAGUGAACAAGGAAAGUAAAAAGCAGAACGAAUGAACGAACUUCCUAUACAUGAUAAUACGAAAGAAAGCAAUUUGUAAGACAACACAGUGACAAUUGAAGUUGGGGUUCUGAGAAAAACCAAUUGCAUGAGAGAGGGACACGAGGACUUCCGUGGGCGACCCAAAGGGACCAAAUGUAAUGAUAGGGUAUGGGGCCGCAGCAGUCAACCUUAUAGUAGAAUCCUCCCUUAGAUCAAUCUGUUGAAGAAGCAUCAACAACAUCAGAUCCCAAGAAUUAAUUAAGGGUCAUUAAAAUCGCAGAAAAACCCAUGUGAAAAAAGGAAAAGAAAUUGCACUAGACCUCACAACGGCGAGUAGUGUCAGCUAGAACCCCCAAUGCCUUCCCAUCAGGAAGAAGCGCAAGAACCCAAGGAUGAGACUGGUAUAAAGACGUGGUCCCAGGUCCAAAACCCCAGGCGUCCGUGUUCCAUGUGAAAACCUAAGAUCACAAUGAUCAAUCUACAACAUCGGGAAAAUUAAAAAGAACGAGAGGAAAGAAAAAAGAAAACUAUCUUGCAAAAAGACGCACACGCUUCCCUGUCCGCUCGAGCUGCCCACUCACUUCUCCAGUCCCAUAAAAUGACGUCCCUGAAGGAAGCUGUCGAAAUCAAGAUAUUAACAAUACUCCGACUCAAAAGAAACAACAUCUUCAAAUAUUAAAUUUCGCAAUGAACAUCGAAUGCGGGCUCUAAACGAGAACGAACCUUAAUUUCCACCUUCUGUUGUCCAUAAACGCACUCGAAUGUGGGUACGUACUCGGGCGCCUUGUGCACCGGGAUCGGCGUGUCCCUGGCCUUUGGAUCCGCGAACGAGAGGCUCGGAAACGCCGCGUCGCGAUCGUUCCCGGAGCAAUCGAAUCGGAACACCCCCUCUUCAAGAAUCGGCUGGAACACCAUCUUCCCCGCUGUGGGAUCGGCGGUGGCGACGCUCACGCCAUUGCCCAUCCUCGAAGCCAACCUCCUUCGCCUGCAACCGCAGCAAAAUCGCAUCAAGAACCUCCGUAGACCCCGCAUUAGAGGAUUCUAAAGCCGACCUUCGACGAUGGGAGAGAAGAAGAAGAAGAAGAAGAAGAAGAAGAAGAAGAAGAGAUUGGAUAGGAGUGGAGGAUUCGGCGAUCGAGAAGAGAGAGGAAAUAUGGGAGGAGGAGAAGGAGGGGCACCUGGGAAGAGGAGAGAAGAGAUGAUGGGAUAAGAGAGAUUGGGGAAAAACCCUAGCUAGUGGGAGGAGAAGAGGAGCCCUUAUUCGUCGAUGGUGAGAGCGGAGAAGAGGGAAUUGUAAUGGGGUCGAUGGUGAUCGGGUAUUUAUUAAGGCCAUUAUUCAGGAGAGAUAUUAAUAAAAACUUCUUUUAUAAGCGAAGUAUAAUAAUAUGAUAUGACCGUUGCUGUACUGAGUGUGGAGAGUAGAGACAAGAGUCUCGUGAACUCGGGACGGAGAGAGAGAGAGAGAGAGAGAGAGAGAGAGAGAGAGAGAGCGUGGGAGAUCGAGAAAAGUGCGUGGUGGGACCACUAUGCGGAUGGUGACGCAUACGACUUACCACGGGCCAGUUGGACGGUUGCCUUUUGGGUCAGCAGGGCAUGACUCGCGUCCGCACGAGUCCUCAUAUACUUCACCGGAAGAUUCAGUAGAUCCACGGAUUCAAUGAAAAUCCGGCCCAAUUGGUAACGCUUAAUGGGCCUAACAACAUUCAUAUGGGUCGGGCCGCGACUGGCCCCACAGGUCAAGGAUCAAUAUUCAGGCCGUAUCCCGGUUCGGACUAGGGCACUAGGCCAUUCCAAACUACAGGCCGGCCCACCACUUCUUUUUCUCAUUUUUUUUGGAAUUUUUUUAAUUGUUUUGUAAUUUUUAGUUUAUUUUUAAAAUAUCUUCCGAUAUUAGCUGAAAAAUUAGGAAUUUAGUGCCAUUCAGAACCUCCUUUUUUUUUCUUUUUUUUUUUUUAAAGCAUAGUGUUAUUCACCUUGGCAUUAGAGGUUUUUUUUUUUUCCGACAUGUACCGUAUGAUUAAAGAUAAAUAAGUUAUUCAUACCUGGGUUCCAUUUCCCUACAAAUGCUUUUCAAAGGACAAAUGUAUGCUUCGCCCAUAUUUAUCCUUAAAUACGUAAUAUUAAUAUUAAUAGUGCACGGCAUACUUCAUAGUUUCCAAGAUUAGUAACUGCACAGUGUGCACCCUAGGAUUCCUUUCAAGGAGGACAAAACGAAGAACAAGAAAGACAAGCACCGCCAAUGCGCCUCAAUCUCGGGUUACAUGCCUUUUCCCCCCCCAUGCCCAUGAUUGGAUUGUAAAAUUAUAUCCCUCUAAUUCAAGCUAAUAGAUCCAAAAACAUAAGUGCAUCAUAAGUGUUGAAUCCUGGUUUCCUGAGAACACGCAACGGAAACCCGAACCAUCAAUCCAAAAUGCAGAGCUCAUCAUCUCUACAGUCGACCAUUUGCGGUGAGCUAAUGAUCGGCCGAGCCAGCGGUCGAAAUGGACUCCUCCCUUCAGAUGGAGGACUCAGAUCAAGUGGUUUGCACAAUUGUUCGCUGAGCACUAGGUUUGCAAAGGAAUUGCUCUCAUCAAUGUUGGACCCAAAACAAAUUUAGCAAGCACGAUUUAAAAACAAGUGUCUAGAUAUUACAUGAUUGAGUUAUUUUUUGCCAGUGUAGCUAAGUAGACGUAGUUUAUUAGGGUACUGAAAUCUGUUCCCGAGGAGUGACAAAGUAAUUAGCAUGUACUCUCUCUAAACAAAACCGAAUGAAGCAGCACAGGGUCGAAAAAUCAAUUCUACACAUAUCUCGGUAGACUUAAUUUUAAUCUUCAUUCAAUGUGAAAAGAAUCAGGGAAGGAAAAAGCCGAGGCGCAUUUGUAACUCUUUCGAAUCGCACACAAUCGCAGGUCAUCACAAAAUAGGUCAGAGCCUACAUCAAUUUCACCAGAAAAAGAAAAUACAUUAAAAAACAAAAACAAGAAGAAGAAGGUGAAGGAUAUGGCUCCUUUUUUCCCCCCCCCUCGAACAUUCAUGUAAGUAUUAAGCCAUUCCAUAUUUAAAUGAAGGAGCUUCCUAGCUAGAGUGCUAGCAUGGAGAAAGCAUGUAGACUGUCCUCAUUGGAUUGCAUGUUCGUUCCUGCACGGCCGAUCGCUCGAUCGUGGAAAAGCCUGAGGGCUCUCCGCCAUCUCCGGCCAUCUCUGGCAUCAGCAAAGAGCACGCGGUUUAGCCGAAAGAGGAAGAGCCUCAUCGCAAACACCAUAUCGGCAUAAGAACCCCUCAUUCGAACGGCGAGAGGAAGCUUGAGUAAGAAGAACCACAAGAGAGCAACAUGGAGAUGAGAGUGGCCGCCGACGGUGCUGCUUGCAGCGAGGAGCUUCAGCUUCAGCAUCACCACAAAGUCUACUGCCAUGUCCUACAGUUGAGAACUCAGGAAAAGGAUACAAGAAGAGAGUUUAUUUCAUGCACAAUGUCCUUCCAUUUAAGGAUCAUAGAUAUAGGAGCAAGCUAAAUUGCAUAUUUGAAUUAUUGGUAGAAAAAAAAAAUUGAAGUAUUGCAUCUUCAUUGAAAUUUCGGACGCAUAUUUGAAUUAUCGAAGGCAAUCAAAUGAGAGUAAAGACAAACUGAGUCUGAAGAAACACAGCAUUAAUAUGUCUUUUUCUACCAGAAAAGCCACCGAGUGGGGGCCUAUAAUUGCAGAUGAAUGAGUACAAGACUCCUGUCUUUGGAUGAUAAAGCUACCUCCUCUCUCAGCUGAGAAAGUUUGAAAUUUGUGUCGGUCCUAAAUUUCAUAGAAACUUAAGACCCUUGGUUCCUUUGUAUGUAGAAGAAAAUAAUUGAAGAGAUAAUAGAACAUUAUUUGAAUAUACAAUUUAAUUUACUACUACGUACUGUUAGCGGCAUAUUUCGGCCCACAAACAAAUCAGGGCUGGAAAACUCGGCCCGUGUUUUACGACCUCAGACAAACUUAAGUAACCAAGAACUAGAUUCAGAAAUCGGGGAGUCGACGGCCAGAUGAUUUGAUCAUCUAAUUCAAAACUUACAUGAGGUCAGGACAGUUAAAGAGCAGCCCUGCCAUCGCGGGGACCAGACAAAAACAGGAGGGCACGAGUUUGGUUCAAACGAAAUUCGGUUGAAUGUGGCAGGAUUAACUGCAGAAGAUAGGCCUGGACAUUAUCGACCAACGGUUACAACCCAAGGCUCUAUAAAUGCAGCAACAGAAGAAGGCGACAGGAUCUCAACGGUAUCCAGUUAUUUUCCCGAGCAGUAGAGCUAAGAUGUAAUCUAUUCAGGCCCUACAUUGAACAAUUUUUUUUCUUAAAAAGCAACUGAUGAUAGGUAUUCCAAGUACUAGUUUAAAAAAGAGCAUCUAAGCCCCCGUUACAAUAUUCCACAAGGAGUUUCCUAAAGAAAUUUCUUUCGAAGGCACCCCUUCCUUACCCUCGGUCCGGUUGAAAAUUAUAUGCAGAUGCUGUAGAAGAAUAUUCCAUUAGAAGUCCAACACGAAAUCACUCGAUCUUUUGAGUUUUGAAAAUGAACUGAUUAGAGAUCAAUCAUGAGAUUAUUGAACUCCGCUAAAGCCCGAGUAGAUAACAAUCCCUCGGUAGCAAACUCCCACAUGCCAUUGACGAGUCGGGAGGGAACCAAACUCAAAUCUAUCUUGCCGCGAAGGACAAGAGAACAGGGCAUCAGCGGGUGCCAUCACCAAGCCAGUUGCAAUACCAUGUGCUUAUGAAUACUUAAUGUCGUCCUAUAUUUUAUUUAGUUCAUACAACAUACUGAGUUGCAAUAGUUUUUUCUAUUGAUACUUAGAUUUGAAAGUACAAGACAGAUGGGUGAUAGUAAUAUGGGUGAUAGUAAUGUAAAUGGGUAGCUUAGAAGGUAUAUUUUGGAUAGUUGGUGAAAAUCAAAUAAGUUGCUCCAAAAUGGAGUAGCAAAAUAAAUAGCAUACUUUUACACGGGCAAUUGCCAGCUUGUGGAAAAGCCUUUAGGGAUCUUCGCCAUCGCUAACCAUCACAUGCAUCAGCAAGUAGGACACAGUGUAGACAAAAGAGGAAGAGCCACAUCAUAAACACCAUAUCAGCAUAUGAACCCCUCAUUCACACACCAAGAGGAAGUUCAAGUAAAAAGAAAUAUGAGAGGGCAACAUGAAGAGGAGAAUGGCCGCUGCUGCCGCCGUCACUUGCAGCGAGGAGCUUUAGCUUUAGCAAUACCACAAGGUCUACUGCCAUUUUCAUCUAUUAUAAACACAGGAAAAAAGGAUAACAAGAGAAGGGUGAAUUUUCAUAUACAAAGUCCUUCCGUUUUAAGCAUCCUAGAGAUAGGGUCAAGUAAAUGUGCCUUUAACAUUAUGGAUAGGAAAAAAAAAAAAAAAAGGUACUGCAGUUUCAAUGAGUUUCAGAGGCAAUGAGUUGACACUCAAGAACAUUGCAUCGAUGUUUGUCUCUUUCUCAGCCUAUGAAAACAUUACAUGAUUGUGGUGUUUGAAUAAUGGAGCUACCUUCUGUUUUGUCUCAGUGAACCAUUGUGGUGUAGACCACUCCAACAUUAAUUUCAUCCCAUCAUGAUCAAGUGUGAUGUUUUAAUAGGAGCUGGUUCUCUAGACCAAUAUGAUAGCACUCCUUAAUUUAUACACGCCAUUAAAGAUGAACUUCCUUUGCAGCAAUCAAAAUUUUGGAAGAGAAAAUGCGGCAUGAUGUCAAAUUCUAAGAGGAACAUCUCUUUAAUCAGUUCGACGGAUGUGCCAUUUGGAAUAUAAUGAAACAAAGCUCUGAAGGGAGGUGGUGAUGGUGACGGUGCUGCCAAAAUACCAUCCAUAUGAUUAAGCAAGCCAAUCAUGAAGCAGAAGACAAACAACUAUCUUUGACCUCCAAUAUAGAUUGAAAGAGAGGCUGUAUAACUUGUUCUAUCUACUAAGUUUGAUUACUCAUACGAAUCCUUGCACAAAAUUUACAAGGCACAACCCUACAAAGCAUAUAAACCCUUAACCGAAAAGAUAACUACAGUUUCCAGUUGAAGGCGAGGCUAUCUAAGUAAGCCACAGGAGAGAUAUUAUAAUACCUCCAAAGGAAUUCUACUAUGUAUCUCGACUUUCUUCAAUGUGUUCCUCUUGAAAUUGCAGAGAAUCAGAGAAUCUGGAUACCAGGAAUUAGUACUAAACCACCCAAGCCAUAUCUCUCCAUCACUACUUGUAGAAGUCACAGGUCUAAGAAAAUACCUUUCUUUCAAAAGACGCGGCCUUUCCACACGAAGAGUUGACACAGUGUGCUGUUUGAUCCAAAUCUCUCUCUCGUAAUCCUUCAUCACCCAAAUCUCCAUAACUGAUUCUUCCUUAACUUGGCAGAGGCCAAGGGAUCCUUCGAUCUCCAAAAGAUGGUUUCGAUUAAUCGACCGGGUCGAAUUGGGGUGCGAAAUUUGGCGGAAUUCCUCGAGUUGGGUAUCAAAAGCAACAAUCCCAUUAGUAGUACUGCUUGUAAAGGCAUCAUACUUUGAUCCCAUCCAGUGCAAACAACCAUGGAGCAAAACGGGACAAGCUAUGGAACAAGAUGGAACAUUGUAAUCCGGCCAACCAAUCCGCCUCCAUGAAUCGGAAUCGAUCGCCACGGUACACACUUCAAACCCUAAUCCGGCGAUGGUCAAAAGAAGUCGAUAAUCUCCGGCGGGGUGAUGCAGGUAGAAUCCGCAGAGAACACCCAUUUCCGAGUUGUCGGAUCUGGGCACAAAAACCCAAUCUUUCGUGAUCGGAUUGGUGACGUAGUAGUUAGAAUUCGAGGCGGAUUCUCGGAAGCAGAGGAAUCCGUUGCAGGAGGCGACCAAUUUGAGGUUAGGGUUUUCACUACCGGGGAAACUCUUCGUCUUCGUAGGAGAGAGGGCGAUCUCGUCGACGCCGUGGGAGGAGGCGUCGAAGAGGUAGAGGACGGUGGAGUCGGUGAGGUCGUAGAGGGGUUGGGCUUCUCUCCGGGAUUGCAGGAAGAUUGCGUUACGUAAAAAUAUUCUAUUUGUUUCUGUACGUAAUAUUGCAUUCCGAAUAUCGCGAUGAGCACGAUAUAUUUUCUGCGGUCCCAUCAAAGAACGCAGAAGUAUAUCUUUAUAUGUUUUUUUUACAAUUCAAUUUUAUCCAAUAGCGUUAGAUAGAUCUCAAUACCAAACUAAGCCGAAGUAUUUUUAUCCUCAACUAUAAUAUCUGCGAAUAAGAUUUGGUCGGUCAUGGGAGUAGGAAGGAGGAAGGGCGCGAUGGUAAAUUGUAGUUAAUGGCACUUUGCAGACUACUUUUAUUCGUUUUUAAUCUGAGCACAGCUUUCUUGUUUCACCCAUUCUCGAGUACAAAUCACUUACAUUCAUUUACCACUUUUAUUUUUAAAUUUCUCGAUGAAGAAAUUUAAGAUCUACGCCACAUAAUAGAACAUACACGGAUUGCAGGAAAGCAAACCCAAAUAACCCUCUCUCCUGGAUCCGACCCAAAUACCACAUGAUUCUGCGUGCUCACAUUUGUCAUCGGAACAAAUCAACAACAAAACCAGAAUGGUAUAAAAGUGCAAAUGUUUUAGAUGACAUAAACUCCUGGAGCAUACAUAUAAACCGGACCUUGCAACCAACAACAAUAAAUGCUGCAAAUUAAAGACAUAAACCUCACGUAAAAUCUAAAUCACUCCAAUAGGCAUCAAGUUUGCUCUCCUGCAGUCUCACAAAGUAACAUAAGAAAGGGCAAAAAAACAGAAAAGCAAAAAAAAAGACAAUAUUUUCGGAAAAAACGAAAGGCAUUCAAGGCUAUUUCCAUUGCUUUGCAAUACACUACAAACAAGAGAAUACAAGUUCAUAUAUGAGAACUAAUCCUGGAUUACAACAAGCAGGUAAUCAGAUAUGCUAACUCAGAUAUGCUAACUCUGUUCGCUGAGAUUAUUCGGAGAUGAAGAUUCCAGAUGCAUUUAAGUUACAGCUUUCGCAUCAUCUGAUGUUUAUGCUUCACAUAUACUAUUUCCGGUUCUUCAAAUAUGCUUCUCAGCACACACUGUAACUACUGAAGGACAGAGCCCCUGAUAAUAAAUAACUGAUGUAUCCCAAUGUAAAUAAACUCUUUUACAUGAUUUUUGAAAAGGUAUGUAAUUUGCGGAAAGGCUUAAACAACUAAAUAUAAUGAAAGCUGCAGUUAGUACACUUUACAAGAGUCAGCCAACCCAAACGGCGAAUACCUGAUUGCUCCUUGGAGAGUUUGCUCCCUUCUCUCAAAGGGAUCAACAGCAAGAUGUCAAUCUCCGCGACAUUGACGUAAAUCACCAUGAUAUAUUUUACACUGACCAAUCAGGUCCUCAUUUACCAAAGCAAUCGGUUGAUCAGAAUCACUUACUGAAGCAACCAAGGAGAUCAAUUCGUCACUUUAGCUAUAAUAAGCCAAAAUGUUCCAUUUUUUUGGCAGUCUGUUUGAUGUAUCUCUUAAAGCUAAUAAAGCUGGUACCUAUGAUGUAUUAUCUCUUACUGCCGGGCUAGCCAUUUUUAAGCGGUGAGAUACAGCAAUUGGGGACCUCCCGACUGCUUCCAGAAUCCUACUGAACACCACCUUCACAGGUACACAUGUGACCAAGGGAGCUGCUCCCUCUGGUUUGAUCAAGCUACCCAAAACAUCCCCCGUCUCACCCCCAAGCUUCUUUUCAAUAGCAAUUGAAGAGAGAGUUCUAAUCUUCUGGCUCGACAAGUUAGUUCUUUUAAAAAGCUUCUUCUGAAACUUCACUGAUGAUGGUCGAUUAGCACGCGUGAUACUCCUCUUUGCCAACUGGGCCUUAUGAUUAUGGAUGGAAUGCUUCUUUAAAUGAGGAGCCUUGAUUUCCCAAUCAGAAUAUAGAAGAGCCUUCUCGUCAUCAUUAUCAUAAUCGCCCUCUAAAGUAGAUGUUAUGGGAUUAGAACGGGGGACUCUUUGCAUGGCAGUUCUUCGGCCUGUCCUCCAAAAAGGCCGUGGUGCGGUACUUUCAUCAAGGCUGACAUUAUUAGCCAUAAGAAGUUGAGCAGUGGAACCAUCUUCGAGUAUCUCGAUUUGAACAGGAUGUCCAACAAUUGCUUUGCCAUUCAAUCUGCUCAUUAGAGAAACCAGAGGAACAUGCUCGCCUUGAUAGCUUGCUUGCACCUUUAGAUCAACAUCUAUCAAUAUCGGUUUUCGACCAACAUGAGACGUCCCUUCCACUUCAUAGUCUGAUAGGGGGAUCAUAUGAGAAUGGUUUUCAAUCAAAUCAGACUCAUCAUAAUCAUAGAGAAACUCCUCUUUCACUUGGUAAAUUCUUUCCGAUUUAAAAGUUCUUCCCCUGCUUUGAUACAUAGAAUCCCUAAUAGAGCCAUCAUUAUAGUUAUCUGAACUCAUCUUUCCAUCUGUCAAAUCCAUAGACCUCUUAGACACAUUACGGUUGUUGCGUUUACCUUUCAUAUGCCAUUUUGAGACCCCAGCAUCAGCCGAACCAUCCACAAGGUCCUCAUUAGAGUUCAAUUGGGGAACAUAAUUAGACAGAGGCAUCAUUUCAUUAUUGUCCAUAUCUCUGAAGUCUUCUGAAAAUUUAGAUGCGGAAGGACCACACACGUUCAGUUCUGGUGCUAAUGUCUGAUUUGUAUCUGCAAACAUAUCAGACAAUCAACACUACAUAGAACUUCCAUAAGAAAAGGACUGCUCUAAUCAAAUACUCAUAAAAAUGUAUUAAAAAGCCAAUUGCAAAGAAUGUAAGACGACAUAGUGCAAAUCAAGCGUAAAGUAUAGGGCCACAUUAUAUACACGAUAGGGAAUAUCAAAAUUCCUUAACCUUAAAUAAUGGCAUUCCCAUAAACAACAGCAUUCUACAUAAAGUAAUCCUGGAGAAUUUCAGAUUAGUGCAUUUAAGACAUCGCGAAGCAAUAAUAAGAAAAUCGAAAGCCAAGAGGAAUAUAUACCAACAAAACAUUAACAGAAAACAUGUAAAUACACCACAUAUGAAAAUAAACUUCACAUUAGCAUGUGAUAGUAUCAAGACAUGAUUUCAAAGUACUAAAAAGUCAGCUUGCAUCAACUGGUCAUAUAUCAAAAUAAAAAUUUGUGGCACUCAGCAUAGUCAUGAUGCACUGCAAUGACUAGCUCAGGGAAAAUAAAAUUGAUUAACUGCUACACAGGCAAUAACAUCUCGGCUCUGUGGCCUUGCACACGGGGUGCUAAAGGAUAUUCCUAACCAAGAUAUCAUGCAAGCUCAGAAACCAAAAAGAAAAAUUGAAGGAUUUGUUCAGUAAACAAUCAUAAAGCUAGAUGUGUUGUCAAACAUUUUAGCACUUUAUUGCUUGUUAACAAACUGAAAGGAGAUAACAUAUGAUAGCCAAGCAAACAAGCAUUUCAAUUUUUAGCAGCAGCAAAAGAAUUAGGGUGAUAUCAAUAAGUCUUACCAUCACGGAAGCAACAGAGCAAACAUUAUAAUAAGCUGCGUAUGGCAUCUAAGUAUGCAGGAAUAGUAAGAAAAAAGAGCUUUCCCUUUUUUCUAAUACAUGAAAUAACUUGUCCACAGCACAUGCAACGUGGUGACUUGCAAAGAUGCAAAAGGAAAUACCAAUAAUCUCAACCUCCAGAUAGAUAGAGAAGCUGAAGAUAUAGGAUCCAGAUAGAUAGGGAAACUGGUAUAGAAGAAUAUACAAUAUAAUAUUAAGCAUCGACUUGCAAUAAAGAAGCCAGAUAACAUAGGGGGGAAAAUAAUUUCAAGCCCAAUACCUAUGAAAAGCUCUCUCUCCUCAUCCGUGUCAGUUUCUGAGCACUCCCUUCCUAAAGAAUCAGACUCAUUCUUUAAGCCCGAAGAUGUAUAAUCUUCUGCCACACCAGGAUACUCAAAGCAACUUUCCAAACCAAAAUCAUCUCCUGCAGUAGGCAACAGGUCUGAAGGAAAUCCAUCAUUAUCCAUAAAAUCUUGUGAAUCAGCAGGUAAAUAUAUGCAAUGACUUCUUUUCGCCCGACAGAUUGCACUCCCCAUUUCUCUUUCUCCUUGAACAGAGACAGCACUACCAUCGCGAUCCACAUGCAAAGAAUGAUGAGCUGGCAGUUUUGAACUACUUUGUAAAACCUGAACAAGUGGUCGACGCCUAUCACGUUUUUUAACACUAGACUCCUCAAAUGCACUGUUCUGUGAUCGCUUCUUUUUAGCAACCAAUGCAUUUUUCUCACCACCAGUAUGAAGAAAAUCAUCAACAUGAUCAUAGGCGUGGUUCUGUGACAUCUCCCAAGCAACAGAUGGGGACAGCUUUCUCUUAGGAGCAAUUCGUAGACCAAAAUCCUGAAGCCCUCUCAUCCUAGGAAUGGUUUCUGUUGUAUCUUCUUCCCAUCUGAAUUGCUUAUUACUUCUGCUUUUGUAUUCAUCCUCUUGAGACCAGGCUGCUUUUUUGGGAAGCAUCUGAGAUUUAUAUCCAGAAAUUUUAGCGUGUAUCCCAGGCUCCUCAUUUUUCAAGUACAUUUCUGAAGAAGAUGAGUUAUAAAGCUCCUUUCUAAAAGCACCAGAAGGCUUAUUGGCACCGCCAUUAGAAGUGGCACCUUGUUUCUGAUGCUUCUGCUCAAGCUGUUUUCUCUCAAGUUCAAGAGCAUGGAGAAUAGCAUCUUCUCUACGUGCAUAUUUCUCUCUUUUCUUUAUAGGAGCACCUUGGGCAGCCUCAGCCCUCUCAAUACAAGCAUCAAACUCACCGCAUCUGAAUGCCUUUACACGUUUGGAUUUCUCUAGAUUGUACCAGUCCCUGCAUAAGAGACGACAGAAAUGUGAACUUAACGAAGGACACAAUUUUGCUGCUUAUUUUAGAAUCCUAUAGAUGUAACUUCUUUCUGGACCAAUUGAAAGAAUGAUCUACAAGCACUCAAGCUAGCUCUAUGUUACCUAGGCGAAAGAGAAGAUUAAUAACUGCACAAUAUUUUUUCUCAAAAAAAAUAACUGCACAAUAUUAGCACACACAGUAUGGCCAGUUAUGAGUUCAUCUCAACUGCAGCCAGACCCAGGAGGCCAACCUCAAUAUAACAGUUAGGAUGGUGUUAGAUCUUUUUUUCUUCCCAUCAUGCUAUUGGUUAAAUUUGUCACUAAAACAACUCAUGCAUUCGACAGGAGAAAUAAGGCGGAAAAAUGGUUUUGUCAAAUCCCUGAACAAAUAUGAGUAACUACCAAAUAAGAAAAGGGCAUAGGUGAAAUUUGCAUAAAUUUAUAAGCAUUUAUCCAAAAAUAUCUCACCUAUGCAUAAAUUUAUAAGCAUUUAUUCAAAAAUAUCUUGCAAAAAUAUACGCCAUUCUUAAAAUAUACCGCACUCUGUAAAUUCAAAGUUGAUCAUAUUUCUUUGAACCAAGAAGGAUUUUAAAAAAAGCAACAAGCUAAAUUGAAGAUUAAAAAAGAUUUUAAAAAAAGGUUGAGACCGCUUCUCCAGCCAAAUUUAUCCAUUGGGCUCCACACAAAGAUCCCCGUACAUAGCUCAUAAACUGGGUUAGUAAAUCUAGAAAUCUACCUCCAUAUCAUUCACCAAAAGGUAGGAAAACUGCAUUUCAUUAAGUGAAUUUGGAGAUAUUAUUCAUAUAUAAUUCGGUAUAUAAAAGGAAACUUUGUCAAUAGAGUCAAGCAUACUUAUUUGUUUUCAAGUUAUGUUGGUUUUAAAUACAAUAGUCACCAUAUCAUUUAAGGCCAUGAAAAUGAACAUAUCACAGGAAUAUGUUAAAGCAUACAUAUGCAUGUAAAAUACAUUCUUUAUAUGAUAUAUUGUAUCUUUUUUAAUUCAUACAAAAUAUUCUCUCAUGAUUUUUGGAUCCAACUACACAUUAUGCAUAAGGCAGUGGCAUAAAGUAAAAUCUAUACGCAAAGUAACUCUCAGCUUCAAGAGAAUGGGCAGCGAGUACAAGAUAGCAGUAAGAUGCUUUAUCACUACUUUCAUUAGAUCUCGUAUGAACUAUCAGAAAAGCUAAAUGUGAAAAAAGAAAAAAAGAAAGUCAGCAUGCACACCCAACAGUUGUAAGUUUCUGUGAUUCAAAAGCUCCAGCAUAAAACAAAUUCCAUGACUCAAUAAACUACCACCAUGAUCAAAUUCCACCACUCACAGGGAGUAGAGAAGCCUCUCUGACCAGGGGAACAGCUCUUUACUUAAACAUCAUAUUAUUAGUUGUACAAUAUGUUCAUUUCAAACAAAAAGAAGCUCCAACAAGAAGCGGUAGAGAAGAAGGCAAAAAAAAAGAAGAAAAAGCCAUCAGGUUCUAGAUGAAAUAUAACUAGCAACAUUCAUGAGAAAACAUAUCUGAAUAUUAUCACUUCUUCUACACAUCCAGACCCUAGCAAGCACCAGAAAAGAGCUCAGAAACCCUAAUAACAGUAAGAUGUAAAAACAAAAAAAAUAAUGAAAAAGGGGGCCAAAAGAAUCUCACACGCUGGCGUCCUCCCUACCGAGGAGCUUGACCGGGGUCCCCGAUCUCGGCGACAUGAGGUGAGACGCCGAGAGCUCCUCCGGGCCGAGUAUCCUCCCAGGCCACCACGACCCGUUCCUCCGCCGCACCCACACGAUCGUCCCCACCGAGCAAUCCACGAUCCCUCCUCCAUCCCCUCCUCCCUCAUGCGUCCCCAUCUCUGCAACCCCCCACCCACCCUCCCCUCCCCUCCUCGCCGCGGCGGAGGCCCUCCGAUCACCCCCCGGAGAAGGCGAUCACCGCCGCGCAGCGCCGCUUAUGAGAUCCUCCUCCGGAUCCGAUCGCGUUGAAACCCUCGGCGCCUAGGGUUUCCAUUCACAUCGAAGAAGAUCUCAUCCCUCUUCCUGCUCCCACACCACGCCCUCUCCCCUAGGGUUCCUCCAAAGGUCGCCGCCGCCGCCUCCUCCUCCUCCUCCGGCGCCGCCGCCGCCGCCUCCUCCGCCGCUCCGAAGCUCCGGUCUCCAAAUCGCCUCCGAUCGAAGGUGGUGAUAUUUUUCUCAGAUUCGCUCCAACGUUGUCUUAACUUUAUUUUUCUCGUUUAUUUCAUUUCCCUCGCAGCGCUCAACAAUAAUAAUAAAAAAAAUAUAAAAUAAAACUAAGAAAAAUAAAAACGAAGAAAGACGGUGACCAGAUUCGGAUACCCCCCUCUCUCUCUCUCUCUCUCUCCUCCCUUUUUUCUACGAGAGGGGUCGGAGGGGAAUCAGCUUAUCGAGGAUACGGUGCGCGAACCGGCAACGGUUCGUUUCCUUCAUUCCCGACCGGGCCCAAGGAAAACCAGUCUCCGGUGCUGUUGCAACGGUGAAUUAUUCCACGGACCGAGGCCUAUACACCAGGGUCUCCGAAAAGAUAAAAACUCUAAAUUUUUAUAAGAUAUUUGAUGCAUAAAAAAAAAAUUAGCUUUUACUAUACUCAAAACUGGAAAUAAAAUUAUGUGCCGUUAUUAGAUAGAAUUUUUUACUUUAAUAUUUUUUUUAUUUUUCUACUAGAAAAAUUUUUUAAAGCAAUAUUUUAAAAUAGCACUUGUCCUAAUAGUAAUACUGGGAUAACAUUUUUUAAAUAAUAAAUAUUAUAUAUUCUACAAUAAGAUUAGAACGAUCCUGGACAUCUUGCUUAUCGCAUCAAAAUUUUAAGGACCACUUUUUUGAGAGAGAGGGUGGAUUUGUGGGCUAGGUUGAAAUUGUCAAUGAUCCCGGUCUAUAGGGACGGUUCGUGCAACAGUUUCUCGCGGCGGGCGGUGUCGGUGGAGGAAUCUGGUCGUGGUGGAGUCGACUCGGAUUCGUACUUGACCCGACUUCGACGGGUGUCGCUUGAACCGGGUUUUUUCAGAUAAACGAACCGGGUUCGUCCGGCCUAGGGCCGGUUAGAUUGAACCGUCUUGUUUGGGUCGGGCGCGUCGCGUGGUUCUUCAAUGGGCCCUCCAUGUUCUCCUUUCUUUGGCGCUAGGCCCAAUUAUUGGGGAGCACCAUUUUCCUCUGUGGCUCCAAAUUUAGGACUAGAAUUUAUAAGCAUUUAGAACCGGGGAUAGAUAGAAGGAAAUACUUUUUGGAAUCAAAAUUUAUUUUGUUUUCCAUUUUCCUAUCAAAAUAUUGCAACAAAAAUGGGUCACAGUUUCACCUGUUUCACUUGUUUCAUUUGAAACAUAAUAUUCGAUAUCAAUCUCUAUUCAACAAUUAGCAUGCGAUUGAGUUUUUAACUCUAUUUUGCUAGUUGCACCCUUCACUUCUCUUUUGAUUUCGCUUACGGAUGAUUCUGCAUAAUAUAUAAUCAAAUUUCUUAUAAUGUAUUAUUGGAUUUUUCGAUAGAAUUGCAUUGUUUUAUGCUCUUUGUCUUAUCCAAUUUAAUUUAUUUUGCUUCUCACUGUGACAAAGUCCUCAUAACCAAACUGAUUGGGAAGCAAGAAACAUGACCCCAUUCCACAUGUGCAUGUAGUAAUCUUUCAACUUGUUCACUGUUACUUUUAGAAAGUAUAUGAGAAUACACGCAUAUUUGUUAGCAAUCUUAAAGGCAAGGAAAUAAAAUUGUUUAGUAUGAUAAUAGCUAAUAGUAUGUGAUAACAAGGACGAUAUGAUAUCGAUUGAGUGCUACUGGAGAUGGUUAUAUCUCACGUGUAACACGCCUUUAAACGUCUCAUCUAACUAGAAUCAGAGCAAUUAGGGCCUUCUCUAAGCACCGCGUAAAAGGCCUUAAAAGCUAGUCGGAAAUGUUAUGGUUGGAUAUUGUUUCUCCAUAGCUUCAAUAAUCUUCUUAGCUACUGCACCCGCAUACACUGACGAGCCUUCGAAUAUCUACAGAGUACCGAUUAAAAAAAAAAAUUUGUUACCUUACAAACAAUGCUAUAAAAAUGCAUAAAUAUCAUAAUAUAUGCUGUGUGGAAAUGAGAAAUUAAAAAGGACCUUUGUGUUGAACAUGAAGAUGUUGUGGUCCCCGAUGGUCGCACCGGUACUAUGGAUUAGCUCGAGUUGGAGCUCAUCUAGGACCUUUGCGACAUACAACAAGCAAUUGGCCUUAUUUUUCCGAGUGAUCUUAAUGUUCACUUCGUCAUCGAUGAUACGAACAUCUACGAAACAAUCCUUGGAUCUCCUUUGUAUCCACGAGCUCCUCAAGGCUCCAUUUAGUGGAUUAUCUUGAUCCCCCCUAAAAGGGCUCAUUGAUGAGCUCUCCAUGUCGCCACUAUUCACGUCAUUAACCAUCUUCAGCAUCUUUCUCCUCUCAUUUCCAUGUCUCUUUUGCUCUACGAGGAUCUUUAAUUCCUUGAUUGUUCGAUUUAGCUCGUUGAUGUAUUCAAUUGCGUCUCCCACAAUGGAUGCUCUAUCAGACUUGAUUAUGAGACAGAAUUGCAAGGGAUUAGAAUACAUUUGUACCGAGAACAUUAGUGAUCGCAAAAAAAAAAAAAAAUUGUGAUUUGGAAGCACCAAUUGUCUUCUUAACUCCUUAUGAGUAUAUAGAUUAAGAGAAUUUUCUUUCUCAAGAUUGCGUAAAGGGAACUGAUAUUGCGAAAGCAAUAUAUGCUAUUGUGAGAACAUACAUGGUAUCUAGUCAUGUUUUGAACCAUUGUGCUCUUUCAAUAGUAGAAAACUGCUUUAGUAAUAUCAGUUGCCAUGUGUAAAUUGAAAACAAGGGUUUCUAUCAAAGGGAGCAAUAAUUGACAACAUUGACAGCAAGAGACACUAAUUUAUCACGGAUAUUGAAUUCGUACUAUGAAAGAAUAGUAUCACAACAUUGUCCUCUUUUACAUUGCAAAAAAGCUUGUGAUAAAGCAUCAAUCCAUUUAUGGAUGAGAGAGAGAGGGAUAGAGAGAGAGAGAGAGAGAGAGAGAGACAAGUCUAAUUAAGGAGGUCUAGCUCCAAAUUGUAUAUACAGCUAGUCCACAUUAAGAAGCUAUAAAUUAAAGAAACUCAUGCUUUAACCUCCACUAUAUAACAAGCUAUAAAGAAAAGAAAUGGUUUUCUUGCUUCAAGUCAAUGAGACUUUUUCUGAGAAUGCUGAUAUGGGUGCUAUAUCCAGAUACAAAAUGUUGCGUUUUAAAGGUUUGACAUAUCAAUUUAGAAGGGUAAGUAAUUAAUUACACAAAACUAUUUAAUUCUAAUGAAAACUAAGGUUAAUUAUGGAAAUAUAAUAUACGAAGAUUUGUCGCAACUCGAGCAAUAUGCAAGCAAUUUAUACCAAUGCACAAAGAUGUAAGUUUGAGUAGAUAGAUAAUAAUUGCAAAAUGAUAUACAGCAGUACCUUUGUGGGGUUCGGGACUAAUGAUUUCAAAGCUGCAUACUUUUCAUUCAACUGCUCUCUUCUCUGCUUCUCGGCCGCGAAGUUUUGUUUCCCGUCCACCUUAGCCAGUCCUCCAAUCUCCCUCCUACAAUCUAGUAUCGCACUACUAAUUUUCCUCCCGUCGAUUGGUUGGAAAAUAUUCCCUCCGAUUCCUUCUCCAACUCCGAUCACGGCAUCCCCCUCAUCACCGUAGAGCAUCCCGUAAUUUUGUGGCAAUGAAUGGAGAAGAUCCUUUAACAGGUGAGAUCGAGUAGUAGGGCAGACCACCGAAUGAAGUGCCGGAUCAUAAAGCAUCGACGCACCACCGUCUUGAAUUGUUGCUCCUGAAAGCUCGUUGUAUGCCUCGAACGGAAAGCCGCUCAUCGGAGGAUAAUCCGGAUUGGUAGUGCACCUUGGAAGUUUCAUGAAGCUUAGAAGGUCGGUCGUGACCGCGUAUGAAUUUGGAUAGAGGAGACCAUCACUGCUUUGGAUAUUUUGUUCCACAGGAAUAGGCAGUUGAUUUUCGUAGUUCUGCUGGAGGUAGAUAGCCGGAUCUUGGAUGUCUUGCAUGGCUGGCUCCCAAGUAGCACUUUCCAUCGAAGGCGUGCCGUGGAUGAUGUGACUAUGAAGCUCUUGCUCUAUAUCAAAGCCAAGUUGAUUCUCGAGGUGAUCGAGCCCCGCGGCUAUCGACGUCCCCUCUAACGACGGAUAAUGGUUUUGGCUCGAGAACUCUUCGAUCGGAAAGAAGGGGACCUUAGUGCAUUCUUUUACGCCGCCUAGGCCGUUAUCAGGUAGGGGUUCUUGAGAGGAGCUAUGAAAUGAAGAAUUUGGAACGAGGUUAGGAUCAUGAGAGGGAUCGGUGUAGCCAUUCUCGUCGAACAUUUUUGCUGUUUUUAUAGAAUUCCACCCUCCAUGUUUGUCAUGCAAAGCUAAAUCUAAACAUCAAUAUCGAAAGAGGAGGCCGAUGAACUUAGAAAAGCUACAAGAAAAGAAAAGGUCCCUAAGAGAACUUUGUUGUCGCAAAAUUAGAAGACAACAUCGAGAAUUUAAAGAAAAGGAAAGGAAAAGGGUAAUACAAGGAGGUAACUCAAUAGGAGGAAAAGGAGAGGAAUGUUUAGAGGGACAUAACAGUGUUGAUGAUGUUGAGCUUUCCUUUGCUGCUUGGUUUCUUUUAUUGGUCUGAAGUGAUCGAAAGGUUCGGAGUUCAAAGUAAGGCUAUCCCCCAAUCUCUUUUUUUUCGUGUAGAGAAGCUGUUGCGGAGAGUAGGUUGAAAUGAUAAUCUAUUGUGCUCCGUUUAGCCCCCAACAAACUUCCUAAUAUCUUCUUUCCUUCUCCUAAUCCCUCAUCAUUACUCUUCCGAAAAAUAAGUUUUCAAAUACCUAAACUUCGCUAAAUAAUCACUGGAGUGCCAUCAAGCUACCUUCAUACAAAAAGACCUUCAGUGCAAGAUACCAACGAGUUAUGCAAUUAUAUACUCUUAUUUUGUUAUUAAUUGAAGUACAAUUACAAGGGAAAGGUAUCAACAGUAUUAUGGAAAAAGAUUCUAUGCACAAAAUUCCUCCAAUAUUUCCUCCAAACUAUUUAUUAGGCAAUUUUUCGAUAAGUAAUGCAAAUAUUCGAUAGUUGCUUACAAUGGUAUAUGUGAUUUGAGUAUUUAAUUUCUCGAGUAUCUGAUGGAUGCAGCUGAAACCAAAAUAUAAUGAAACAGUACAGCAGUUAUAUUCUAAGCAAAUAGCAGUUGAAUUUUACCCCUAAGACUUGGAAGGCUAGAGUUUUGUGUUAAAACGAAAGCAUUCUAUGAUAGAAUUGUGAUUUCGAAAGAAGUUUAACAUUAAUGUGGGGACCAUGAAUGAUGAUCUACGCAUGAAAAACGGCAAUUGCAACUAAUCUUGUUAGCUUGAUUGAUGGUAAAUUAUGCCAAGAAAUAAGAACUAUAGUCUAACCAAUUAACUAAUUCAUAGGAUUUCUAAUCAAUUGGACUAAUUUAUGUUAAUAUGAAUUCUAUAUUCAUUCAUUUUACCAUUUAAACACGGUUUGGGUGAGGGAAUAUCACAUGUUUGCCACCAAACAUGGGGAGAAGAGACUCCAAAUCCACACUCUUUUUGCUUUGGCCUCUCUGAUUCUAUUUAUCCCUUAGGAAGUUGAAAAAUGCAAGCCAUGCCUCCUAACUUCCCCCUUUACUAUAUUCAUAUGGUGUAUUUACUUAUACACUACGUCCCAAAAGUAAAUGUACCACAUAAGAGUGCGCUAAUAUUGUACAAUAAUCAUUUUUUUCGGAGUGAAAUUAUUUUACAAUAAUCAUGAUGGCAAAUUGGCAAGGAGUUGAGAAGUCAUUUAUGGGAUCUCCUUGCGAUAAUGGCGUACAAGGAUUCCUAAAGAAUUUAGUUAGUCGAGAUGAUUGCUAUCACAUACGUGCCAUGUUUUGUUACUUGAUAGCUUAAAUGUCUGUUUAGCCUUAGUCUGCAAAAUUUUCUCUAUUUCAAGAAUCAAAUAGACAAAACAUUCAAACAACAAACGUUCAAGCGGUUGGCAUGCUACCUAUCUCUUAAAAAACAAAUCUAAACUUUUGUUGCAGCGGAGGAAAUUAAUUGAGCUUACAAACCUUACUAACGGAAGUAUUUGUUUGGAUUUUCUUCACUUCUCUUGUUGUCAGAAAUUGUCGAAAAAAUUAUAAUUAAACAUGAGUAAAAAUAAAAAUUAAUAAUGUUUUCUCAAACAACUUUACUCAAAAACACCUCUCCAGAAGCUUCGAGCAGACUAAACAUAACUGAAGCCUUUUUAGUUACAAGUGCAGUUUUGGAGAGUAUGCGAAGUCAUUCUAGCUUAAGAAUUCAAAAACAUCAUUUACUCCACAAAUCGAACUUGGAGGCAUGUUUUAGACUCAGAUGUAGUUAAUUAACCUUAAAUGCAACCAAUAUCUUAAAUGCGACCAAUAUGUACAAAUUUUGGGAGUUCAAUCCUCUAAGAAACCUACCUGAAUCCAAAUUCUUCACACACCUAGCCAUCACUCGUGCUAAAGACCGUAUCGUUUGGUUCGAGGAUAACCAAAAAAUGAUUAUUCCAGGGAUAGGUAUAAAUUGAGGUAUAAGCGGAGAUUAGAUCAAUUUUGCGUUUGGAUGAAAAUUAGGUUAUUCUUAAGAAUAAAAAAAAUAGCGUUUGGUUAGAUAAGAUGGAAUAAGAAAGAUAGUAGACUUUUAUAAAUAAAAAAUAAUGAUAUUACCAUCUUAUUAUAUUUGAAUUUGAAUUUUUAAAUUUUUAAUUUUAAAAUUUUAACUUUGAAAAUUUAAAUUUUAAAAUUAAAAUUUAAAAUUUAAAAUCUCAAAUUUUAAAUUCAAAAUUUUGAAUUUUAAAUUUCAAACUUUAAAUUUAAGUUCAAAUUUAAAUUUAAAAAAUAUAAAAUAUAAAAUUUUAAUUUUAAAAAUUUAAAAUAUCAAAAUUUAAAUUUAAAAUUUAAAAUUUAGAAUUUAAAAUUAUAAACUUUAAUUUUGAGAUUACAAAUUAUAANGUGGAAUAGCAAAUUCCUUGCUAUUUUAGGAUAACCGAAAAUAGUAAGGUUUGACCGGAAUAUUUUAUUCCGGCAAAAAUUAUCCCCGCUUAUCCCAUGAACCAAACAGGGCCUUAUAGUUUAGCUGCAACUGUAACAACCAAAAACCUAUAUAGUUUCCUGACUUUCGUCGUGGCUCAGAACCGAUAUCAACUAGUAGCACGCAUCAAAGUGAUACUCCAUUUAGCAUAAUUUUAAUGUGGUUCGUUCUAAAUCCUUGCUUACACACACCUCCAAAGAGAAGUAUUAUCAACCUUCAUCAUAGAGAUAAGAAAUUGUUUAAAAAAAAUCAACGUUUAGCUAUAUUUAGAAGUCCACUUUGGAGCUUCUAAUUUUAUUUAGAAACUGCUCCGGGUCACUUCAGUAGUGCUUCUAGCAGAAUUACUCAACUUGCAUACUAUCAAAGAGAAAUACACCCCUCAAGACCAAGCAUGGCCUAAGCAACAUUAGAAAAAAAAAAAUUUAAAAAAAACAAAAUAUUAAUAUCUGAUGAUAAUUGAAUAUUAUUAACAUAAAAUUAGGCGAUUAAUCUAGCACAUAGAGAAGAGAUGAUAAGUACAUUACUUGACAAAACCAAUAGGAAAGUGGUUACACAAGUAAAACACCAUGCAUCAAUCAAGUACUUGAACAUUUACUUGAGCUCACAGAUUAAUUUGAACUAAAAUAUUCAAAAAAGCAAUAGUUAAUUCAAGACUAAUAUGAUUAACAAAGCAAUGGUGAUCUUCUAUUACCACAAGAAACAAAAAGACAAGACGCCUGGCAAUCUUCAGUAACACAAGAACUUUGUAUAGUAGAAUAGGUGUAAGGCUUCUAAUAAUCAACAAAUCUUCAAAUUGUUUAAGGCUUUUGUAGUAGGCAAUUUACGAAACAUUUUAGACUCAGCCCCAACUGAAGAAACAUAUUUCGGUUGCAUAAUUACAUGAUUUUUCAGCACCAAAAGCUUCACAUACUAUAUCAACAUACCUCACCAUUCUGUUCCAUGCACACAUCUCUAAGGAAAUUGCGAGUUGAUAAAUUUGUUCUCCUCUUCAUUGAUUCAAAGUGGUAUAAGAACUUCGCUGAACUACAUACCGAAGGCACUUUUUUCUGGUUCGUUGAACUACUGCAAUUGAAAGGAGCUUGAAAAGGUGAGGUAUGAGCGAUUAUCUUGUUCUUUUGCCAAGUCAAAUUAAGCAGCCCUUGAAAGCUUUUCUCAAAGCAGCUUCAUCCAAAUUCCUUCCAAUAAAUACCAGCUUGUUGAUCCUUUUCUCAUUAGGACCCCAUGGUUUCCCAGGGCAUCCAUCCAACAUGGAGUGCACACCCUAGAAAUCAAGAGAGAGAGAGAGAGAGAGUACAAGCUGUCAGUACUGUAAGAGAAAUACGCAUUCGGACAAACAAGCCAAGCAAAAAUGAGCAGGUACCCUCUCCAACUAUAGAAUUUUAGAAGGCCCUUGAACAUCAGUUUUCUUAAUUCGAAUCAUCAACUAAUUUGAUGUGUGAUUCAAGUGAACAUUGUCAGAUUCCAUUAUAUGAUUUCCGACAAAAAGUUUCAAAAUAUAACUAUUCUGGCAUGUUCUAUGAGAUUCUAUCCAGAAAGUUAUGAACCGGUAAAAUUCUAAUGGAAUUUUCUGCAAUUAAACAACACAACGAGUUUAAAUAGAAAAAUACAGCUGAAACAAAGGCCUGUACCCAAAUGACCUAUAGUUGGAGGGGUGUUUGCACAUUCCCAUUAAUUUUGAUUGCCUUUAAGUCCCACUGUAAUGAAGAAGAAAAAUAACAGAGGCAAGGUAAUGGAUAUAUAACCUGGAGAACAUAACGCCCAGUAGACUCAUUUACAGAUAUAACACCUUUCAUUCUGUACAAAUCAUCGCCUUUCUCAUCAACCAGUCUCUCUAGCCAAUCAUUGACCUUGGCAUUGAGAUACAGUGAGACGUUAGUAGAUAAACCCAAAAAAAAAAAAACCAGACGAGUACCUUGAAAUCAAUGUGCAGCAUUAAACCCCUAGAGUAAGAAAGGGGGGAAAUUUAUAUUUCACCAGAACAAUUGACACUUAUCGCAUGACUUGUGUAAAAUGAAAACAUAUACUUCAAACCUAACUAGGGUGCCUUAUAUUAUUAAAUGAUUCUAAAAUUCCUUUUACAUAUUUUCCUUUCCAACUACGGAUGCACCAACAUCAAUGCAUCCAAUAGUGAUAUGCAAAACAGCUGCUGCAACCAGCUUUUUAGAACAUAGCACACCAAAAUUAAAACAAAGUUGGAACUUGGAAAGUACCUCAUCAAGAUCCAGCAUCCCUUCAGAAACUAUGCUAACACUUGUCACAGAAGAAUCAUGGGUGUGAUCGUGAUGGUGUCCAUCAUGGUGACCUAGAAAGAGAGAAAACAUGUCGAUUUAAAGCUAGUAAAGAUUCUACGAAAUUGCUCCUGCCUGUUGAACAUAGGUUUCAAAUUAUUCCUCAGAACAUGGGAGCUGAAACAGUGCCAUACUUUCAUAAGUUACUACAAGAAACUAUACAAAAGCAUUAAGAGAAAGGAUGCUGCUCAUACAGAACGCUUGAUUAGGAGUUAUAUUUAUCAUAAGCAAUAUCCAGUUGGCAUUCUGAUUCCCGUCACUUAUCAUAUAAUGCACAGCCUAGGGAUCAAUCAUUCGUCUUUAAUGAUUCAGGUUUCCGAAUGAGGCAGAUCUUGAUAAGUUAAUAUAUUUGGCAAAUGGAAACUACAGUCAGUAUGUAAGCACAUACCAUGUCCAUCUUCACAAUGAUGACUCGCUUCAUGGUCUACAUCGAGUUGAACUUCAGACUCAAUCCUGCUUAAAAAUUGAUCCAAGAAUGUCAGAUUAAAUUUCCUUGUAUUAAUCUUAAGCAACUACACGGUUUAUCUUUUCAAGACCACAAUGUGGUGAUGUAAAAUGAGAUUCAGAAAUUUCAGAUACUGAAAGAAAAGGCAACAACUGGUACAAUGAAAAUGACCUCUCUAGGUCAUAUCCACCCACUCCUAGAACAAAAUCCAUAUCAACAACUCCAAACUUCGCUUGUUUAAUUUGAGCCAUGCCAUUAAUAAGCUGCAAAAUAAAUAAAAUAAUAAGCACAGACAUGACAACUCGCAGCGGUAAAACCUUUGACAAAAAUAGGUUAUACCUUAAUUUUCCUAGUCAGCAUAUCCAAUUCAAUAUCAUUCACCAAAUCUAUCUGGAAAAAAAAAGAACACAAAGAAUUCAGAAAAGUACAUUGCUUCUUCUUCAAAAGAUUAUGAGACAUUAAAACAUAUAGCCCUAGAGAAUUAUCUAUUAAUAUAUAUACCCCUGCAAAAUUGGAAACUUCAUUUAUGCCCCUCAAACUUCCUAUCAGAUAAAACCUUGUACUUACAUAACAAUUGCACUGUUCAACGGGCAAAAAAAUAAUAAUAAUCAAAACCAAGUUCCCUCUGGUAUUGGAUGAAUCCUCAACUUAAGGGUAUUUUGUGAAAGAUUGCAUAUUUUGAGGGCAAUAUAUGGAAAAUACAAAUUUUAUAAGGGCAUAUAGGUAAACAUUUGGUUUUGCACUGCAUAUCAAAGCCCCAAAAGUUUACUAUAACAACAAUAUGAGAGGUGCAACAUAAAAGGUCUGCUUACACAUAGCAUAUACUUGCCUUGUUUAAUAUAAUUCGGUCAGCAUAAGCAACUUGUUCUACUGCCUCAUUCACGACCCACCUCGGUUUCACUUCAUUCAGAUGCUGCAUGGAGUGCUUGCAGUCCACCAUAGUGACAACACCAUCAAGCUUCACAUGGCGAGAAACCAAUUCAUCCGAACAAAAUGUCUCAAUGACAGGAGAAGGCUUAGCAAGGCCUGGAUAAAGAAAAUCAAGAACUUCUUACAUGACAGACUAACAAGCAUUUGCAGUUUAGUUGCUUAAUAGCUCCAAAAGCCAAGCUAAACAAAUAUUUCCCACCAAAUCGCAACAAAAAAGGUGGUAAUAGUAAGCUGUCAUCAACUAGAAGUUGAAAACAGGAGGAGGUGAAUACCAUGGUGUUGGAGAAGAAAAAUACCAAAAUAAUCAUCUGAAAAACCCUAGGUUAAAAAGGUAUGAGUAUGGACCUUACCUGAACUACGGACCAUUUGAAUUUGGCUAACCCAUUUCAAAAUUUUGAUUUUACUAUGUAACCUUUCAAUUUGUUUGAUUUAAGUCAGUCAAUGAUACUUUAACUUUAAAAUUUGAUUUUGUUGUUUAACUUUACAAGUUUAGUGAGUAUAUUUUAUGCAAUUCUUACAACUAUAAGUUUAUUAAAGUAAGUAAUUAGCUUAAAUUUUGGAGUCAAAGUGCCGUCGACUGACUCAAAUCAAACAAAUUGAAAGAUUGAAUAGAAAAAUCAAAAGUUUGAAAAGUUGGGCAGCCAAAUCCAAAUAGAACAUAGUUCAGGUAAGGUCCAUGAAUUUUAACAAAAACCUAUUGGCUGGCUAAGAGAUAUCAACUCUAUUGCCCUGAAAAAGUGAGUAAUUUAAAGUAAAAGGAGAAAAAAAAAAAAAGAAAAAAAAAAGAGACAUCAAGUCAAAUAAAAAUGGAACUUUUGCACCGAAAAAAAAGAGGGCAACAUGGCAACAAUUAAGUUUGAUAUGCUAAUAAUGAGAAAGAGUAAGUAAUAACUUUAAUAUAUCAAGACUCAAAUAUUAAGUAGGAAAUUAAGAAAAGCAAGUGCAAAUAAUUAACGUCCAUAAGUGUUGAAGCAGUUCGAAGGCUGGAACAAAGAAUUGGAAACUACAGAAGAUAAACAACCAGCAAAAGCAUUCGCAUUUCAUAUUCCAGAGCUUUGACCAAUAUCUCUACCUGUUGUUUCUAUAACAAUAUGAUCGAACUUCUCCCGUUUUUCCUUAACCAACUUCAAAAGCAUCUUAACAAGAUCCCCUCUGACAGUGCAGCACAAGCAGCCAUUAUUAACCAUCACAAUGUCUUCUGCGACAGAUGAAUGACUAGCAACAAGCGAACUAUCAAUAUCAACCUCCCCAAACUGCGACAGUACCACGUCAAUCCAUGAAAUGAAUAUUUUCACCCAAAAUUUGUCUUGCGUGUAGAGAUUAAGUAGAAAAUUCAUUAUGAAAAGAGACAAAAGAGGGAAUAAACUAUCAGAAAUAUGCCAAUCAAGUGAGUCAAGAUUUGAUGCUUUUGCUAAACUAGUUCUACCCAUUCAUAUAACCAUGCUGUUUCAAAUUUCUAAAAAUAAUAACCACCAAAGCCGUUCUGCAGCAGGAGAUAAGGCUCACAAGAUAUAGCACUUUGUUCUAGGUAAUUCACCGUAAGCAAAAUAAUCAGCAACUAAAAAUUACAACAGAAAGCCAUUAUUAUAUAGGGAUAAAGAAAAGCCACCGUGUACCUCAUUUUCAAUGACAGCGAUCCUCUUCCCAUGCUGUGAAGUCAAAAUAUGGUUCAACAGAGUUGUCUGCAUAUAAAUUACACAUCAUGCUUUCUGUGCUGGAAUACAUAUAUAUUUUCCAAAGAAAAAAAAUUAUCAGAAGUUCUUGCUAUAUCACGCUAUAUAUCACUAUAGACGGAAAAUAUCAUACGAAACCUCUGGGGUUAACGGCUCUCUUUAUUUCAUCAUAAGAUGUUUCCUUUGCAGGAUUAAGUUCCCAGCACAUCCCAUAAGAUGCCAAGCUUGUUUCAGCAUUAACAUGGUAUGAGUACCUCAUCAUAUGGGAGAACAUGUUCCACAAGCUAACCUCGUCUUACAGGGGAACAUGUUCCACAACCCAGAAGUCCGUUUCUGUGGAACCUACGGACAAGUUCCAAAAACAGCACGACACUCGAACAAUACUCCAGGCUAAUAGCAUUACUUAUUCGAUACAUAAUUUCUCAAAAAAAAAAUCCUAAAAAAUACUAGACCCAAUGGUUGACAAGAAGAAGCACAUUGCAAGCGAUAAAGGUAAAUAACCAAAUAAAUAAAUAAAUAAAGAUUCUAACAUAGUCGGUUGCCUCGGUUGCCUCUCAGAAGAAGCCCAGGGAGGGGAGGAAGAGUCCUAUGAUUACUUCCUUUCUCUCUUUAGAACCAAACAACGUAAUUUGAUCCGCACAAGAACCAGAGACAGAGAAAAACACAUAAGUUCCCUUCAAAGAUAGAAUCCACCUCCUAUAUGGUAUUCUUAGAUCUUUAGGGCGCAACUGGAUCAAGGCCAAUAAAAAAUGCAAGAGCCUACUAAAGAAAAAUUAUCGAAUCGAUUGAUUAGAAUCUGACCUUUCCGGAGCCGAGGAAUCCGGUGAUCACGGUGGCGGGAACGCGGGUGUCGAGAUCGAGGGCGCUGGAAACGGCUUCGGCGAGAUCGGCCCUGGGUCGUGAAGCGGACACCAUCGAUCGCGAAUCGGACGGCCGAUCGUGGGGGGAGAAGGGACGGGAGAUGAGGGAGUGGAGGCCUCUGAGGCAUUGGGAGAUUGAGGCGGAGGGGGCGGCACCGAUCGGAGGGAGGGAGACGGGUUGGAGAAGAUGCGCUAGGGUUUUGGAAGCUCUCGGGAUCAGCAAUUUCGCAGCCAUGGCGAGGAGAGAGAGAGAGAGAGAGAGAGAGAGAGAGAGAGAGAGAGAGAGCUUAAACCCUACACGGAGGUUUCUUGUAGGAGAGAGGGAGGAGGAGGAAAGGGAUGCCUUAAACCCUAGUGAAGGGUUCUUGUACGAGAUAUACACGCCGAACCGGAGGGAUCCUACAACUGUCGUAUAAUAAAACUCGCACAAUAGAGAAUUAGAGAUGAGCGAGAUCUGAGCCCAGCCCGAUUCAGAGAGGGCCGGCCCUGGAUUGUCCAAAUUAAUAAAUAUAUUAAUUGUCCAUAUCAACUGUCGUACGAUCAAUAUGUAAAUAUGUAAAUAUAUAUAUAUUAAGAAUCAAAAAGCUCCUAUGCUCUAAUGCCCUAUGUACUUUUCCUUUCUGUUUCAUUCUUCUUUCUUUUUUCUUCUUUCUUACUCCUUUUUUCAAUCUUUUGCCGCUCUCUCGGAGGUCCAAGCUGCUUCCAACUUAUAUGCUCAGUUUAUUUAACCUAAUGAAUGAAGCAGGUAGCUUGCUACCUAUUUUCUCAAAAAAAAAAAAAAAAAAAAAAAAGAAUCAAAAAGCUCCGAUAACCUUUUUGAUAUGUUCUAAAUAAUAAUUUCGUUGGGCAGUUAUGACUAUUUAAUAUUCUCUGCAGUAAGUUUUUCCAAAAAUUUAUUUUAUUUUUAUAUACAAACUAUUUGUGAUUAUAGAUUCACGUCCAAAAGUUAGACCUUGCUAAGCAUCUUAAAAAAAAACUACCAUAAAUAGGUCAAUUGGGCUUUGCGCUAACGGACCCUUCAUGGGCGAAAAUGUUAUGACCAAACCCACUCCAACCAACCAUAUUCACGGGGAAAUUUAAAGAAAGCAAAAUUGACCAGUAGCAUUUCCGGCGCACAGCUAACAAUAAAAGCUUACCCCAGAAUGAACCACAAUAACGCUCCUAAUGUUGCUGUCCGUGAAAAUAAAAUCGUCAGCAGAUCUCAUAUUCAGAAAUUUUUUCAACCGAACUCAAGGAACUAACCAAGUCUAAUUUCAAACUUUGAUAGCGAAUUCCCAUUUUUGGUAGUUUUGGCGGAGUCACAUGCAUAUAUAAACCGCAACUAGGUUUCAUAAACAGAAAUAAACUACCACAGUUACAACAUCGGUUGAAAUAAGAGUACUGAUGAAGAACAGCAAUCCUCACUGGUAAAUUUUUAGUUUUCUUAAAUAUUAUCAAUUAUCACCCAUUUGAGUAUCUAAUCUUAAAAUAUUUUGAUCUUACUAUUGGACCGUUUAAUUUAUUGAUUUAAACCAAUUAGUGACUCUCUAACUUCGAAAUUUGAAUACAUCAUCUAUCUUUACAGUUAGAUAUUUUAUGCAAUUUAAGCAACUGUAAGUUUAUUAAAAUGAAUAACUAGUUAAAAUUUUAUACUCGAAAAAUCAUCAAAUUACUUAAAUCAAAUAAAUUCAAAACAUAAAUACUAAAAUUAAAAUUUUUUAAAAUUAAACAGUUAAAUUAAAAUGAUAUAUAGUUAGAUAAAUUUGUAGGAUUAAUUUCUUAAAGAUCCCUGCAAAGAAAUCAAACAGAAAAUAUAUAUUCCUAUAAAACUUUAGUUAUCGGAUUUAUUCCUUCAAAAAUUCUUUGAUUUGUAAAUAUAUAUUUUCAAAAGUUCUAAUUCGUUCAUAUAUUUUUCUACCAUUUGAUUUAACAUUAGGUUAUAAAAUAACUAUUUCGUCCUUAUAAAUUUGUAAAAAAUUAUUUUUCCCUCCCUCCUUGCCUUCGCCGAAGCACUUGGGGGAUAAAAAAGAGAGGAUAAGAAAGAUGACAUGAUUCAACAUUUGGAAUACAAAUUAUAUAUAUAUAUGGGAUAAAAAUAUUAUUUUAUCUCUUAGUUAAUUGUGGUUAAUUUUUUUUAUAAUUAUCCAAAUUUUGAUAAUAUAAGUAUAUAUUUGCAAACAAAAGAAUUAUUGAAGAAAUAAAUCUGGUAACUUAAGUCUUAUAAAAGUAUAUUUAUUAUUUAAUACCUUGCAAGGGGUAUGCAAUUAUCCCAAACGUAUAUAUCUUUACCUAUUUUACAAAAAUUAAUCAAGAACAUGUAAACACAACAUCGGACGAGGACAUUACUCAUCCUAACAAGAGUUGGUGGCAAACAGAGCCAUUCGCGUAGCCAACACAAAAGACGUGCGACCACGGGAUUUGCGGGAUUGCCCCCUCCUCCGUUGCUGUUGUAUGUUGCGGUGUGCUAUAGAACAAUCGCUCCACUGUAGAGAGAUAACGACAAGUCACGGUCACGGUCACGUCCGUCGUUGCUGACCCGUUACCGCCGUUUCAGCCGAAGAGAAAUUCCCCUGGGCUUGGUACACCGCAUCAUCGGUGGAUCGCAAAAAUCUCGACCGUACAUGGUAGAAGUAAUUUCUCCCACUCAAUGGUCCAUUGGUCUGCGUCGGACUAAUCUUAGGCCGUUGGAUGAUUUGGGAUAUUGUUGCCUCUUCGGGAUUUGCGAUGGCUGAGUACGACAGCGACCCCGAGGAAAUAAUAAUGCACUCUAUAACUUGCGGAGCAAACGCGGUGCUCGUGUUGCGAGUUACUAAAAUUAAUAAUAAAAUCAAAAAUUAAAUUGAAUUGAAUUUGAGGAGAGUCCGUCGCUUUCAUUUCCUAUGGGCCAUGGAUAUGCAUAUAUGCAUAUCGUGUGGGUUUUUUUUUUUUUCAGAUAAAAAUAUUUAUGAAGCUCGUCUAGAAACCGAGUGGCGUGUGACUUUUGUAUUUUGUGGUGAGGAAUUGCUGGGUGGAGAUAAAUGCAGCAUUUAUUUGGUCCUAAAUCUACACUUCUUCUGCACUCUCUCCUACUUCCAUUCCUACGUUCUUUGAAGCUUCAGCCUCCUUGUUUGUUUCAUAAUUGUGUUAAUUUAUUUAUGGUAAGAUCCCCCCAUCCACAAACAAUAUUAAUUAGCAAAACAUGGGCAUUGUAAUUUGCAAUAUUAAUUCUCACAAUAAUGCAGGUCACUCUACCUCCCUAAGAUAUAUAUAUAUAUAUAUAUAUAUAUUAAAAAAUAAAAAAGUUUAAGCUGACAAACUAAAUUCUAUAUAUAAAAUAUACAUAUUAUAAAGAAAAAAUAAUUAAUUAAAUCAAAAAUAAAUUAUAUUUUAAAAAUAAACUGAUAUAUAGAAAACAGGUAGAAACUUUUAAGUUG